CACCGUCAUCCGGCUCUCCCUCUCGUGCUGAGAAAUUGACAGAGGAUUUGGGAAAGAGAGAUAUAGAUGAGGGGAGGGAGAAGAGAGAGAGAGAGGGGUAUUUGGGAAAGAGAGAGAUAGAGAGCAGAGGGGAAAGAGAUAGAGAGGGUGAGAGGCUUAUAGGUAAGGCCCGCCAAUUAGAAAAAGGAAUUUGUGACUGGACUGCCAGGUAAGACCAAAACCUCUCCGGUUGGAUAGUUGAGUGUGAAAGAAAUCUAGUUUUGAUAGUGUGAAAGAAAUCCGGUAUUGAUAGUUGAGUGUGAAAGAAAUCAAGUUUUCAGGUAUUUGCGCCGGGGGGGGGGAUAAUUCGUACUCACUCAAUAGUUUAAGAGCAUAAUUCAGACUUUUUCAAAUAAAAAAGGGUGUACCAGUUUCUAAAUCUUGUGAGCUACUCCUUCCGUAAAAAAAAAACCCCACUACCCAAAAGUGGGUUUUUUUUUAUUUUGGGGACGGAGAGAGUAUAAGAGUAGAGGUGUGACCAUAUAUUGGUAAAAUAGGAUGAAUGAGAGUUACAAUCCUUGUUUUUGACUGGUUACGAUCUUUUGUAAUUCCUUGUGACGCCCACGGUCCGAAAACUGUAUUAGGUCCAUCUCAUUCAGUUGGACCACAUCUAACACUAUACUUUCUCUGGUUCUAUAUUAAUUGACCUUUUGGACAAGAUUGAGGUUAAACUUUUAUAACUUUGACCAUUAAUAACUUUAAAAAUAUUUAGUUUAAAGAAACUAGAAAAAUAUAUAUACAUUUGUCUUUCAAAACACUAUAAUAAAAGUAAACAUGCAUUUAUUUAUUGUAUAUAUUAUAAUAGAAAAAUAAGGUCAAAGGUAUAUCUCGUAGUGAGGGAGUAACUCACUACGUUUUCCGUCUUCGCUUUAACACCAAAAUUCUGGGAAUCGAGCAACCUUUCCUAUUUAAGUUGCUCCCUACUUCCUUCGUCCUAAAAUAUAGCUACCUAGUAUUAGAUGUGACGUUAUCUAGUACUACGAAUCUAGACAUCCUCCCGUCCAGAUUCAUAGUACUAGGUAAGGUCACAUGUUAGGUAGAUACAUAGGGUAUCUUCUAGCUACAGUACCGCGAUGGUACUGUAGCGCUGCUGCUGCCGCAGUGCUUCUACUGCACUUUACUGCUGCUGCUGCUGUCUUGCUUGUAUGGACCGGCCAAGGCCCCAAGGCCAGGCCUGCUGGCUGCUGCUGCUGCUGCUGGGCUGCUAGCUCGCUGUCCUUUUUUUUUUCUCUUCUUUUUCUCCUUUUCAUGCUUUAUCCUUUUGAUAUUGUAAAUAACUACUUUUUUUCUAAUAUAUAUAUAACUAUACUGGUAGUAUUCUUGGAAAAAAAUGAAUUUUUUAGCACUCGUAAAAAAUUGGUGUAUCAAUUUAGAACCGCUACCCAUGACAAUUUUGAUUGGUUCCCCUAUAAGUUGAAGGAGGGCUUCUCUCUCGUUUUACAGUUGGCGUCCUAUAGUUGAGGGAUGUAAUAUGAAUAUUUCCCUAAUUUUUGUAGCCCAUCUAUACUUUCUAUAUAGUUGGUACCCACUAACAAUUAUUAGAAGCUAAGGCUCAACAUGCAAGCAUAUGCCACAUCAUCACCCACUAGCAAUUAUUAUUCUAGCCCAUUUAAAAUCCUAUGCAAGCAUCAUGCAACAUCUUCACUCACUAGCAAUUACUGUUCUAGCCUAUUUUAAAUCCCAUGCAAGCAUGACACAUCAUCAAUAAGCAUAUGUCAAAUAAUCUUCCUCACAUUAUUUUCUCAAUAUUUCAACUUUUCAUCAUUUCGACAAUAUUUAACAUAUAAUCAUUUAUGAAUAUCGCAGCAAAGUGCAAGGUAUCACCUAGUAUGCGGUAAAUAGUUCGGCCACAGGGGCAAUACAAUUUGUCCCAUAUCGUUUGUUAUAUUCAACUCGUAAAUGCUGGUAUAUUUGGCCCGUCCGUGGUCCGCCCUUUGCAAUUUCGUCCAUAAGUGUGUAUAUACUCCGUAACUGAUAGUAGUAUAUUUUAAAAUGGAGAGAGUAGUAUAGUUAAUUUCGGCAUGUUAGAGCUUAGCAGGUGGCCCAAAUAUCGCCUUGGUUUCCUCCCACCACGUUUCCUUCCAACAAACCAUUCAUUCGUGCCAGGAAAAUCUAGCAUUAGUUGUGCCAACGCUUUCUAUGAAAAGGCAAUGCAAUUUUCUAAAGUCGUUGAGUGCAAUCAAAUUAACUUCUUAUGGCCCGGAACAACCUCGAGAAAUUAAAUUAAGGAGUAAACCCAUCAGUCGGUCAAAUGCAAGAUGCUGAUAUCUUGUCUCUUAUACUCUCUUAAUUAGUACUACUAAGGAGUAACUCGAUAGAACAUUCGGGUUCAGCCCAAUCAACAACCAGUGGCAAUCAUCUUCAGCGAAUGAUGAGAUUAAAAUUAGAUAUAAUCCCUUCGUUUUUCUUUUCAACAGAUAACUUUAUAGACGACGCCAUUGACUUUUACCGUCCUUCUUAUUAAAAAAACAUAAUUAUCAUUUAUUUUGUUGUGAGUUAUUUUAUCACUAAAAAUAUUUUAAGUAUCAUUUAUAUCAUAUAUAUUAGUAUAAAUUUUUUAAUAAUACGAAUGAUCAAAAGUAUAUCAAAAAUCAACAGCGUCACUAUUAAAAUAAAGAGAGGGAUUAUAUAUAUUUAUAUAUAUUUGCCCUCAUCCACGUCGUGUAGGACAUUCAUCCUAGAGUAGUCGAGUGAAGAACGGAGGGUCAGAAUCACAAGAGUUUUAAUUUGCAACCAAUACAAUGCGCUUGGCAUUCUCGCGGCAAGUUCCCUGCUCUGCCUAAGGAACACCUAAAAAAUCAUAUAGAAAACCAUGCAUGACAAGUCAAGUCAGAGAACUAUACAUAGCCGCGAUCUGAAAACCGACCGGCCGGAGCUAAACAAAAACAGAGCAUAUAUUCCUCUCUUAUGUAUGCAGGUUAGAACAAUAUUUAUAUGCAAACAUAGAUACGCUCGCGUUGCAAGUUGCAACUUGUUUUUCCGUUUGGUGCUAUGGCGGUGAUCAAGUCUUUGUAACGACUUAAUUAAUUAUACUGUGAAACACAUAGCAAUUUGAUAGCUGCAGCUAAUUAAUUAAGCCAGUGAUUGAGCUUAUUAUACUAUCUCUAUUUUCAAAUAAACGUUGUGUUAUUGACUUUUACACACGACGGACCACGCACAUGGACCGGCAGAACAUAUAUAAGGAUGAUCGUAUUGUACCUGCUGCUUGCUUCUAGAUGAGUCGGGAAAUGUAGUACAAACAACUCGAAAUCUGAAAACUACCGUUGGAUUAAAAAAAUGAAUAUAUAAUAUUUAUCCAUGUCAUCCAGAGUUUUACUUCCAGAUUUGAUGACGUGCAUAAAUCUCAUACAUCUAUUUUAGAAUUCAAUGAUAGUUUCAAAGUUUUCAUUACAUAUAUAGUUUGUAUUAUGUAUUUUUCCAACUAAGGUUUCGUUUGAAUCUAAUUUUAUGAGCUAAGUAUUUCCUCGUUGUCUAUAAACAAGUUUCUCGAAAGGUUAAAUUGUAUAUUUUGUGAAUGUUUUAUAGAAAAUUUUAUAUAGAAAAGCAAUUAAAUAUAUUUUUAAAAUUUAAUACUUAAUUGAUCCAAUGUUAAUAAUUAAACUGUCUUUGAUUGCGUGUCACUAAUAAACUGAGACAAAACCCAAUGUCAAACAAAGCCUAAUCUAUCUAUUAACUUAUUAAAGUAAUAGAAAAAGGAGUCUCCACGUUUGCUCUCACGGCCUAGAAAUUCCCGCGUUAAUCGGAGAAAAAGAAAAAGAAGAGACCAUAUAGAAAUAUAAUUUCAAAAGUGUUUAAUUUCGGAAUUAGAAAAUAAGGAAUAUUGGAAGAGGAGACUAGAGUCCAUAUAGGAAUACAAUUUAGAGCUAAUUAAAAUUCAGAAGAAAAAAAGAAGAAAAUUAAAAGAAGUUAGAGACUAUAUAGAAAUAGAACUCAGAAAUAACUAAGGAAUAUUGAAAAACCAGUCUAGAGUCUAUAUAUGAAUACAAUUUAGUAAUAACUGAAAUUCGAAAUUAAAAAUAAGGAAUAUUGAAAGAUAAGUUUAGAGUCCAUAUAGAAAAACAUAUACAAUUUAGAUAUAAUUGAAAUUAUGAAUUUAAAAAAUAAGAAAACUAAAAGUAGAAUUUAGAGUCCAUAUAGAAAUACAACUUAGAAAAAAAAACUAAAAUUCAAAAUUUAAAAAUAAGAAAUAUUAGAAAAAAGAAUAUAGAGUCCAUAUAGAAAUACAACUUAGAAGAAGCUAAAAUUCGAAAUUGAAACAAAAUAAGAAAUAUUAAAAAUAGUCAAAAGUCCAUAUAUGAAUACAAUUCGGAAAUAAUUGAAAUUCAGAAUUAAAAAGAAAUAUUAAAAUAUGAGUAUAGAGUCCAUAUAAUAAAAAUACAAUUUAUAAAUAAGAGAAUUUGGAAUUUUAAAAAAUAUGGAUUGUUCGAAGAGGAGUCUAGAGUUUAUAUAUAAAUAUAAUUUAGAAAUAACUGAACUUUGAGGUAUUAAAAUAAUAAAUAUUGUAAGAAGGGUUUAGAGUCUAUAUUAGAAUAAAAUUUAAAAAUAACAUGACUUCGGAAUUGGUGAGUAUACAGUCUAUAUAGGAAUACUAUUUAAAAUUAACUAAAAAUUAGAAUUUUAAAAUAAUUAAUAAAUAUCACAUAUAUAUAAUACAAUACAAUAUAUAUAUAUAUAUAUAUACUACCUCCGUUUCGAAAUGUUUGACGCUGUUGACUUUUUAGUACAUGUUUGACCGUUCGUCUUAUUCAAAAAAUUUAAGUAGUUAUUAAUUCUUUUCCUAUCAUUUGAUUCAUUGUUAAAGAUAUUUUUAUGUAGGCAUAUAAUUUUAUAUAUUUCACAAAAGUUUUUGAAUAAGACGAACGGUCAAAUAUGUGCUAAAAAGUCAACGGUGUCAAACAUUUUGAAACGGAGGGAGUAUGACAUAUUAGUUAAUUUGGUUAAGUUAGUACAAAAUUAAAAGUUAUGUUAUUGUAGGAAAAUAUAAAAAUAUAUACGAUAUUAUAUAAGAAAAAUAAAGUUGCUAGCCACACAAUUUGUGCGGUCUAUUGUGCCAGUUAAAUGUAUGACCAAAACUACCACGUACUAUAGGUAGAGCUACGAGCAGGAAUUUCGAGGGAAAUGGGCUUAUAGAGUCACAACUUCACACUACGACUAGACAGGAGAGCCUAUUAUCCUAGCAAAAGCCAACCAUACGUACGUAUAAUAAGUACUCCUACUAACAUUUGGUCAAAUACAAUAUGCUAAUAUUGACCUUAUGAUGCUAAUAUUAUCCUAACUCUUAUGAGAGCAUUUCAAAUCACGCCAAUGAACAACCCAAUAAUUAACCACUUGCAAAUUAAUUGCGGUGUCAUCUUCAACGACGUCGACAAAGAAACUAAAAACCACAGAAAAUGUCUCCUCUUCCACGUCAGGAGCUGUGCAUCCUGGAAUAAACAACUUAAGGUCAUAGUCACAGAAUUCAUUGAACUGAUGUGCUCGGCAUCCUCGCAGGAAGUUCCUGCGCGCUGCGCAAAUCUGCAACGUCGGCCAAUAAUCAUAGAGAGAACCAAUAAAAGUCAAGGCAGAAAACUACAGCUCCAGGCCGCAAGAAAAGUUGUUUUCUGUUUUCUGGUUAACGUUAUCCACAGACGCUCGUGUUGAUUACAACUUCUCUCCUUUCGGCAGUCCAAGUCUUGAUGACUGGACUAUGUUUGGAAAUCUACUCAGCAUAUCGGCACGGUCAAAUAAAACCAGCAUCAUAUAAUCGAGUAAUCUCAGCUUAUAGCAUCAUACAUAGCAGCCUUACAUCUUCUAGGUGGUUGUUGAUGUGGUUUAUAUCCUAGUUUGAUAGGAAGCCGAUGUUCAACAAUCGAUUGGCUGAGUCCUGGCAUCUCAUAAUAUUAUCAAGCAAAGCAAUCUCUGUAUUCUUUUUAAUAGCUCUAUUAACUUGGUUCUGAAUUCUGCAGAUAGAUUCUUACUGAUGAAUGUCGGCCUUGGCCUAUCCCCUGGACUUAUGUCAAUUUCCUCCAGAUCAUCGGCCGAUAUGAAACACUGUCCUAACUUGCCAUCGAGAUCAUCUACUGUGUCCUUGGUGUAGAAAUUUGAACCCUCCACGACGCCCUCAAAGUAAUAAUUUGGGCUCUCCAUCUUUAAUUGGUUGUAUAUCACAAUCAGACACUUUUAGAUAAUCUCCUUCUCAAACUUUUCCAGACAGGCAAUCAAUCCCAUCCAUCUCCCAAGGAGCUAAAUCGGCACUAGCAACAUUAACUAACCUGUCGGCUGGCACGAUCUCAAUCUUGUCACCUUGCCAUUGAAUCAAACACUGGUGCAUGGUUGAAGGAAUACAACAAUUCACAUGAAUCCAAUCCCUUCCAAACAACAGGCUGUAGGACCCCUUCCCAUCGAUGACAAAAAACGUGGUAGGAACAGUUUUGCUGCCGACUAUCAACUCCACAUUUAAAACUUCUUUGGUCUCCGAUGGAUUGCCACCAAAAUCUUUGAGAAUCAUGUUUGUCUUGAUGAGAUCGUCUAUAUUCUUGCCCAAUUUCCUGAAUGUAGCAUACGACAUCAGAUUUACAGCAGCCCCACCAUCAACUAUCAUCUUGGGCAUCGGCUUCCCGUUGACAAACCCGUUAACGUACAAUGGCUUGAGAUGCCGAUUUUCUGUCCCCUCUGGCUUCUCAAAGAUUGCUUGUUUUGGUGACAAAAUCAACCUAGCAGAGGCCUCCUCUACAUUAUCAACAUCGGCUUGCUUGGCCUCAAACUCUGCAGGCUGCAUAAAAACCAUGUUUACCGAUGAAGACGCAACAGCUUUGCCCUUAGGCAACCUCUUCGCAUUGUCGGCUUCAACCUCAUCGGCUGUUGUGACUUUGCUCUUAACACGCCACUCCUGCUUUGUCUUUUUUCAGCCGAUGGUUGAUUUCUUGUAGUACCUCCUGAAAACGUUCCUUGUUCCUCAUCCUUUGGACCCUUCUUUUCUGAUUCUUAGUAAAAAUACCAGAAGGACACCAUUGCGACUUCCUGUCUUCACCCUCUUCCUCAGAACGAGCUUGGUGCAUAGGACCCAACCUCUGAUGAACAGGCACUCUUUUCUGAAUCAGCCGAUUUCCUCGAUUGUAGGAUUGGCUCGAGUUCCCUGAAUUGUCACUGCAUCCGGGGCAAUAUUCAAUCCACGGCAAUCUCAUCCCUUCAUUCCAGCAAAACCUGAAAAACUCACAAUCCCAAUGUGGAUCAAAACCACCAUCUUUUUCUUCAAGAUAUCUCUCCUGCUGCUUAUCAUGCCUUUUCUGAUAUUUGUUGAUAAUCCUGGCUGAAUUCAGUUGUGAACCCCGAUGUUUUCCUUCAUCGGCUGCUCUUCCAGAUGUAUGCACCAUGUAGAUAGGAAAAGGAUGGCCAUCCACCUUGAUCGGGUUCUUUGAGUCAUCAAACUUAAUUUUUCCUCCCUCAAUAGCAAAUUGGAUCUGUUGCCUGAAAACUUUGCAAUCAUUAGUAGCAUGAGAGCUGGAGUUGUGCCACUUGCAAUAUUUCCUUUUCCCUAACUCUUCAACCGAUGGAAUUACAUGACCGACAGGAAGUUGAAUAUGCUUCUCCAGAAGUAGCAAAUCAAAAAUCUUGUCAGCUUUGGUGAUAUCAAAAUCAUAUUUUUCUUCUUUUCCAGAAUUCUUCACCCACCUGACAUGUCACAACCUUUUUGCUUCUUGCCCACUCGGCUGCAGCUACUUCAGAAUCAUCAUCUUCUUCAGAAUCAUACAUAUAAGGAUAAACAUGAUUGACCUUUUUGAAAUUUUUCUUAGCCUCUGCAAACCUUUGUUCAUAUAGGGUUACCUUCUGUGUAAGGUGAGACAAGCUUUCGAAAUCUUGAUACGAAAACUUCUCCUUGAUUGGAGCUAUCAAACCCUGAAAAGCAAGAUCGGCUAACUGAGGAUCGGUCAAAGCUAAACUGUAGCACCUAUUCCUCAUAUAUCUGAAUCUCUGAAUAUAAUCUUGUACAGUUUCAUCAUGCCUCUGUCUAACCGCUGUCAAAUCAUAAAUUUUCAUCUCAUGAUUUCCACGGUAAAAGUAGCUAUGAAACUGUUUCUCCAGAUCGGCCCAGCUAUGAACGGAAUUGUAAGGUAGUGAAGAAAACCAUGUGAAUGCCGAUCCAGACAAGGACAAAGGAAACAAACUGACCCUCAAUGCAUCAAUAGCCGACGCCUCACCACAUUGAGCCAAAAAUCGACUGACAUGCUCAUAAGUUGAGACAUUAUCUUGCCCUGAGAAUUUUGAAAAAUCUGGGACCUUGUAUCGGCCUGGCAAUGGUACUCUCUCAAACCACUCAGGGUAAUGGUGCCAAUACAAGUUUCCAGUAUCCUUCGGCUUAAGCCCGAACUGCUCCUUCAUUACAUCUGCAAUCAUAUCGGCCCAAGGCUUUUGCUGUGAUACUCCUUGUAUUUGCUGUUGGACUGGAUCAAACUGGUUGAACUGAGGCAAAAGCUGAUGUUGAGGUGAUCCUCCUGUUUGAUACUGAACUUGAGGCGAAUGAGGCUGAUAUUGGAAGUUUAAGUUACCACCAAGAUAGUUCUAAGGAGGCUGUUGCACAUUAUGCAUCUGCUGUUCAGGAAUAAAUUGGGCUCCAAUAGGCUGAUGUUGCCGAUUGAUAGGUGUUCUCUAUCCAACUAGUAUCGGCUGAACCGUCUGUUGCCCAAUCGGCUACACUACUUGCUGCCUGAUUGGUGUUGAGUGAACUGGCUCGAUAACCGGCUGAGGUAGCCUGAACAUUGCUGCAAUUUGCUCCUGAGUUAGCCGAUUGAUAUUUUGCCCAGCAUGCUGAGGUUGUUCUCUGGUCAACAAAUAAGGAUUAACCGUCUGCCUUUGUGCCGAUGAUGAUGCACAUGGUCCUGGAGCUGAAACCAAUGCCAUUGGCUGGCCUGGAGGUACAUUAGAAGCAUGCUGCUUGUUUCCGGUCACCAAAUUCCUGUAUGGUGGGAAUACACCUUCUGGCAGAAAAACUGGCCCCUUAUCUUGAUGCUCAGCAAUUAUGCCACCAACCACAGAUUUGAUCAUAUUUGUCAAAGUAUUGACAAGCACCCCUGAUUGGUUGAUUAGUGCUUGAUGAACAACAUAGUCAACCCGAUCCUGGAAUUUAUGAAUUCUAAGGUCUCAUGCUCCUUAGUUUCAUCUUCUUUAGGCUCCUCACCUUUGUCGCCUGCAUCACCUCCAUCACCUUUGUCACCUUUGGCUCCUUUAGCUUUGCCACCUUUAGAUGAGCUUGUUUCUGGUUCAUCGGCAGAAACUACCUUCAGCUUGUACUUCUGAAUAACUACUCCUGAGCGGGUCUGUUUGAAUGAAUCCAGGUACUUGUUCUUCACAUUGCUCAGCAUCUGCUCAAAUUCCUGCCUUUGUUCCGGUGUCAGCUUGUCUAGGGUGACUGGGAUGAUGUUUCCAUCGUCAACCUCAGAUGGUUGACCAGGCGCUUGUUUGGUAAACGGGGGCUUGGAACCUUGCUUGCCGUCCGACAUGAUGAAAAGCGUUCAACUCGUGUCCCACCGGGCAUGCCAAAAGUGUGUUGAUGCGGAAAACACACACUGGCCUGGAAGAUCUGCUUAACUACUGUGCAGGUCCAAAAUCUUGCUUUUAGGUUCGUGAGCGUGCCAGUUGAUUUGAUCCUGCAAUCAACAAGAAGAAAAGACAAGAAAACACGGUUAAAUCCAUAAACAAUAGCCGAUCGGCUAGUUGCCGAUGAUGUAUCAUUUAUCUUCGAGCCGAUGUCAUGUUGGAAUCGAUCGGCAGUAAUGAAUGAAUAAAAUAAGACUAAAUCUACUCGAUCGGCUGUAGAUAUUAACGACAUAUAAUCUUUCCUUCGAUGUAUAUUUAAACUAAGUGAUUGGGAUAGAUCGGUCGCCAUGCCGAGAUAGUAUAAAUCACUUAAGUCGAAAGAUACAUUAAAGCAAUGAUUAUAUAUACGUUUAUAGCAUAGCCGAUCAGAUAGGUCUAGCAUGUAUCGGCUAAUACUCCGAUACCACUUUAUACUAAGAUAUUAAAACAAGCAAAAUAUAUCAAACAAAAAGCCUAAUAUACUCUAAUGCAAUAAGAUCUUAAUAUAAAGGGCAUAUUUAGCAUGAAGGUCAUGCAUAUAAGGUAUAAGAUAGCUAAACCAGAUAAGAUCGGCUGAAACCCCGAUGCUAUCUUUCUCGACAAUCAUAAAGCAAGCCAGAUAUCACAAUUAUAGAUAAUAGAUCAAACUCAACCGAUGCAGCAUUAAGCAUAAAGAUAACUGUAAGAUCUAAACAAGAUGAUGAAAAUCUCUAAGAGAUGAUAGAUAAACAAUAUAAUCUAGAUUAAUAACGAUAUCUAACUCUAUCGGCUACUUUCUAACAGUAAAAACCAGCCGAUUGUAAGUUACAUAGCGCAACUAAUAAAGAUUAUGAAGUAUAUAUGGUAACUCGACGAAUUACAUAAACAAGAUUAGAGUGUCAUAAAGAUGGAAGCACUAAUCUCGAGAACGCAAACCGCCAUGACAAGUUUACCUCUAGUUGAAGAUCGAAACCGAUGCAGCUCAACCCGAAAGCAAGAACUUGUCAAAAUAGAACGAAAGUAAAAGGGGUGGCGAUGCUCCGAAAGUGUUAUUGAACUGUUGUUGUUGAUUACAUGGGUUCGGUUUAUAUUUAUACCCGAGAUACAUGAUAUGUCCUUGCUGGACACGACUAUCAUCUCUAACAAACUCUAAGAUACACAUAAGUCUUUACGACAGACUCUUGCCCAAGCAUAUCUCUAAGGAAAUUACAAAAUAUCCUAAUUAAUAGAUACAAUUGCCUAUCCGAGAGCUUAUCUCCGUAGUGGCAAUCCUUGUGUAGCACGUUCAUCGAUUCUAGAAGCAGUUUUACAACUGUCCUUAACAGAAUCGGCUGUAUCGGCUGUCCUCUGUGUGCUCCAUCUCAGCCGAUGCAAAUCCCAGCCGAUGCCUUCGCAGCCGAUGCAUACUCUGUUCUUCGAAUCUAGCUCUUUGCCGAAUCCACUUUGAUUCCAAUGCCGAACCUGGUUCAUACCUUACCAAAUUUGGUCGUUAACAACGGCACACAUUCAAAAAGCAAUCUCUUGAUUCCUCAUUUGUAUUAUUCUCUAAAUUAGUAGAGUUUAGGCUUAGAAUAGUUCUUCGGUUUCCUAGUCUUCUUGAAGAUUCGGGUAUGUCUUUAAUACUUUACUCUCUUUGUAAGACUAUGAACUUAGUAAUGAAAUUACCUUCUGUAUUCAUUUGUGUUCGUAGUUUAUAUAUUGCUUUAUCAAUUAUGACUAGUUUAUACCUGUUUCAUAAACUAUAUAUGUUUAGACUAGUUGAUCUAUUCCACGACAUCGGUCCAAUCAUACUAACUGGUUGCACAAGUUAUUACUUGUCCAUUCGAAGGGUGGGAGUCCCGCAGGAAUUAGUGUAUUAAUUUGCAAUGUAAGCAUGGUGCUUAGAUUGAUAAAUCGUUGGAUGCGAGUAUACCCCAUAGAAAUGUAGAGGUAGGCGACAAGUGGUGAUAGCCUUGUCUGUCCUUUAUUGUCCUCCACGUUUGUAUAUGAUGUAAGAGUUCAUAAAAUAGCCAUCAAAAACCACACUAGCAGACCAGCAUGGAGUGGUCUCUCGGUAGUGCCUAUGUACCUAGAAAUAAGUCCUAGCCAUGUAUAUGUAUAUGAAUGUUAUAUCGACUAAACAUGACAAAGAUAGAAGUACAUAUGAAACCAUAACUUUCUUCUGUCUUUCUUCACUAGCUAGCUAGUUUAUUUAUUGAGAUGAUUCUUAUGUGCGUCACACUUUCAUAUUAUUAUCAUUAUGAUUUACUCAUGUUAGAUUAUGGUAUAUUAAUAGCAUGAUUAUGAAUAUAUCGAUCCAUUCUUUACACCGUCGUCUUCCUUAUGGAGAAGGAAUAAUGAUACCCUUUUUUUUGCGGGGAAAUAACGAUACCCUUGGAAUACUUCCUGAUGAAAUACUAUAGCGGUAUCCACACACUUGCGAAUUUAUCUGUGAUCGUAUUGAAUACCAACACAUGUGCCUCCGAAAGGGAAGAGGUCAUUGAGUGCAAGCCAAGCUUUUUCUUGGUGGUUUCUUGGCAAAGCAAGCUUCACCAAAGGAAACUGCAUGAUGUCUAAUCUUAGGACCGAGUGGAUUACUUGGAGCACAAACUCGCCCUAGGUGGUUGCUUGAAGAGUCCAAUGCACCAUCAGAGGUUGCUUGAAGAGGAAAAAGGUUAAAAGAGACCGGACUUUUCCUUCUUUUUUUCCAUGAUUGAACGACUAACGCACACUCACACACACCAUUACACAAGCUACACAAGCAACACCACACUCACACCCCACGAAUGCCCCUGUUUAACACACGCUCUAAAAGACGGAAACCAUCAACAGAUCCUUGAUCUCACUAAAAUCCUGUUGGAAGCUCACCUGCAUGUCAAUAAUAUUCAUGGGCACCAGGAUUUGAACCCUAGUGAGGGGAGUCAUGCACCCUCAACUCCCUCACCACACCAUCGGUGUUUCCCUAAAAGAAAUCUGGCUUUUCAAAGCCCAUCAACAAAGACGUAGGAUUGCUUAAUCCAAACUUCGGUGUCUACCUUGUACUAGUUGUGUUGCUUGCAUGCAAGUUUAGUUCUAUCCUCAACUAGCUAGAUUGUGUAGGAAGUGUGCUUGAGUAGCUCCUCUAGUUUGUAUCUUGGUAAAUUUCUUGUUAAAUUCUCCAUGUGUGUCGGAUUAUCCUACCACAGUCAGACAAUCCGAGACUCUUAGAGCUUUAUUGUUUUUCACACUAACUGGAUUAUCCGCCACGGUCCCGGAAUGUCCGACUACUCUAUUGUCAGAUUGUUCGACCUGGUACAAGAUUGUCUGGUUAGCAAGUUUUUGCUGCAAGUUUUUGAAUUUUGAGGAAACGCCCAUUCACCACUAUAUAGGUCACAUAUCCGAUCCUCAAGACCCUUUUAGGCGACAUGUCCAUCGAAAAUGAGUCACCUAUGUUGACUUCUUCAAUCUUAAGAUAUAUUGGUCCAGUCUUCAGAGGUGCUCAUAAGAAUAGGAUUUGCGUAUGUGCAUUAAUAUGGGUAAGUGUGGACACGUUUAUAUGAGCGUCUACGUUAAUACUGUGUUUUAAAAAAAAUAAAUCUCUAGAAUAUAUAUAUGACUUCAAUAGUUGUAAUAUGAACAAGAAAAGCCCAUGCAAUGCGUACUAUUUGAUGAUUAAUUUCUGCAAUGCUCUUGGCUCUGUAUUUUAGCUUUUUAAUUAGAUUAUUAGUGUGGAUUAUGUGCUAAGAGCCUGAAAAAUAUAUCUUAUCUCUAAGCUGUCUGUUAAUUUUAUGCCCUAAAAUAUCUAAUUUGCAUGUAUAAUUGUGUAGAUAAUCCACUAUAUAAAAUCAAAGAGUGUUUGAUUGUUAUUUUGUGAAGAACAAUUGGCAUUUGAGAUUAUUGGUUUUGAUAUUUGGAGAUUAUUGGCGAAGUGGUUUUGAAGAUGAUGGGAAUUUUCAAAUGAUCAACAAGAAUUGCUGACAGAGUGGUCCGGUCAGACCGGGCUGUGGUAGCGAGUCAGUCUGUGGAAUGUGUGCGGUCAGACUGGCUGACGAUGUGUCAGUUUCUAGUUGAUUCUUUCGAUAUCAGUGGAUAAUUUAUGUUUAUGGCUUCUAAAUGGAUACUAUGCUUAUGUAAUACUGUUGUUUACUUACAAUGAGUCAAGUUGGUGAAAACUUGUCCUCGGGUAUGGUUUCUUGAUUAAUGCAUGUGUAGGUGAUUCUUAAUGCCUCGGGAGAGUGUUGUCGGUGAUGGAUCGGGAGUCAACUUGAGAGAAGAUGGCCUCCGGACGAUUAGGAUAUCAUGCGGAAUGCUUAGGCUAAAUAUCAAUGCACGUGGUUGGUGAAGAUUCCAUAUGGCAUACGAUGGAGAUAUUGUGUGCGUAUGGGAUGCGGAGUCGAAUUUGGAGGGAGUCAAAUUUGGUAUAAUUGGAGUUUGUAAAGUUCGUUUCUUGUAAGGGAAGGUUUUCUAGGAGAUUAAGACUUCUUGUACAAGGUUGGUUCGUGGCUUUAAGCUGCCUACCUCGAGUAUAAAUAGAGAGGGAGGGUGUGAUUUUCCGGUAUCGUUUUUGAGAGAGUUGAGUCCAGAGAAAAGUUAAGUGUUUCGAGUUUAGUCGAGAUUUUCGUGAGGAGUGAUGUUGUUGCACUUUGAGAGAAAAGUAAUAAAGUUUCAAUCUACUUUGAGAGAUCUUUGAUUUGUGUUUGCUUGGGUUCGGCGGUUCAACCAGUGGGACACCGACGGUCAGACUGACGGCAUCAGGGCGGUCAGAUCGGCGGCGGUGACAGACGACAGUAGCGCAUCGGGCGGUCAGAACGAAGCAACUCCACCAAUCAGACCGGUGGUAAUCGAGAGUUCAGACCAGCGUGUCUUCUCCGAUUAGACAGACCGCCAUCGAAUUUGAUAGUAACUUUGAAUUCCGCUAAUGUUUUGGGUUUUGGGUACUACAAUCAUUCACCCCCUCUAGUUGGCUUAAUUCUUGCUAUUCGAUUCUACACACUAUAAUAAUCUGGUCAAUAAUAUGUUUUCAACUAUGCCUAAUACUCUUGCUGGGUCGGUUGCAACUAAUCGAUCAGAUUAUCACAAUUCAUCAAAUGACCUCGGACAUUCGAGAGUUACUAGCCUUGCGCUCCACUUCACUAUAUACUCCACUUGUGUUGCUACAACUUUACUAAGCUAGCUCAGCAGCUAGUACAACUGAACGUUUAGUCGUUUACUAUCCUCCUCCAACGUACGGGCACCAUGCUCAACCUCCUCCUCCUCCUCGUGCUAGCCACCACCUCAUGGUCACCGGCGGCGAGCGGCCAGGACACCUCCUCCGCCACGGUGAGCCCGCUGAACACGCACUGCAACGCGACCGCCGGCAACCACACGGCCGUGGGCAGCGCGUACCUCUCCAACCUGCGCGCCCUCGGAGGCGCGCUCUCCAGGCGCGCCCUCGCCACCGGCUUCGCGUCGGGGAGCUACGGCGCGGCGCCCGACGAGGUGCACGGCCUGGUGCUCUGCCGGGGCGACUUCACCGGCGGCAACUGCACCGACGGCCUCGCGUCGGCGUUCCGCGACGCCGCGGCGCAGUUCUGCCCGGGCGCCGCGGACGCCACCGUCUACUACGACCAGUACAUGAUCCGCUACACCAACGACGGCCGCCUCCUCUCCGACCCCGGCGACAACGAGCCGCUCUGGUCGGGCAAGAACAUGAACGAGGUCGCCGGUGCCGACGCGGCGGCGCGGUUCAUGGCGAAGGCCACGGAGCUGAUGAACAGGACGGCCGACCUCGCCGCCUUCGGGUCGUCGUCGUCGCCGAGCCGGUACGCCACGGGGGAGACGUGGUUCGACGAGCAGGGGGUGAGCGUGGUGUACGGGCUGGUGCAGUGCACGCCGGACCUCACCGGCGAGCAGUGCCGGAGCUGCCUCGCCGGCAUCAUCGCGCAGAUGCCGAAGCUGUUCGGCGACGCUUCGUCACGGCCGGUCGGUGGGAGGAUCCUCGGAGUCCGGUGUAACCUCCGUUACGAGAAGGAUGUCUUCUUCAAGGAGACCAGCACCACUAUCAAGCUCAACAUGCCCAAAAGUAUGUCGUCUUCUCGUUGAUUUCAAUUCAUAUAUGCACUAGCUCCUUGCAUGAGCAUGUCCUUGCAAGAUUAACUACAGCAAUUUAAUCAUAUUUUCAGACAACCAUGCAUACAUAAUUGCAUAUAUAUCACCUGAUUAAUGUAUGUAAUCUAAUCCAAUAUAUCUAUAAAAUUCGUCCCUACUAAAUUUUAAGUGUUGUUAAUAUUAUUUAUCUCUUCUCUAAUUAAAUUAAGUCACAUCAUCUCAAUUCAUAGCUCUUGAAUGAUUAACUUAUGGUCUAAAUUAUCUUUCUCAUUUUCUUCUCUUAUAAAGUCAUAUCAUAUUUGUUUGCACACUUAUCUCUUUUUCAUCUAGCUAGUAUCUUUUAAUUGCACACUUACUUGCAUCUAGAGGGACUGAGCACGAUGCUGAAGAUCGUCAUAUUUGGCGUGCCGUGCUUGGUACUGAUCAUAUCCGUGGUGCUGCUCAGGCCUUACAUCGUCAAGGAGAUAAGAGGCGAGUUAACUAAAAUUUCUUUGACUGUUGACCGAUAUGUUGUUUUCUUGCUCUCUAGUUAAUAUAUAUAUAUACACAAGAUUAUGGUCAAUACUGUAUUCUUCAUUGUCACUUCAUAUUGAUUUUUGCUUACAAUUUGAUCUGUGGCAACGACAGAGUUAUUGUUGCAGAGGGAUCUAGUCAUAUUGGAAAGGGAAAUCGUGAGUGAAAGCGAUGAAAGAUUUUCACUGUUCAAGUUUUCUAAGAUAAAAGAUGCCACGGACAAUUUCUCCAGGGAAAAUAAGCUAGGAGAAGGUGGAUUUGGUCAUGUUUACAAGGUAAAUGCGUAUUCUCUAAAUAUAGUAUAAGUACUUCUGUUCCAAAAUAUAACGGAUUUUAGUUAUGCAUUUAGAGUCUGGACAAAUAAUUGAUCACCAAUAAUCCUCUAACAUGCAACUAUAUAAAUAUAUAUCUAUGUUUCAUCAUCAGGGCCGUUUGACUACGAACCAAGACAUUGCAGUGAAAAGACUUGCCCCAAAUUCUGCACAGGGAUUCAAGGAGUUCAAAAACGAAAUUAAACUCAUAGCAUGCCUUCAGCAUAGGAAUCUUGUUAGGCUCCUUGGGUGCUGCAUCAAAAGCAAGGAGAGGAUAUUAGUCUAUGAAUAUAUGCCUAAUGGAAGCUUGGAUGGCCUAAUUUUCGGUAUGCCUCUAACCCUUCAGCAAGAAAGCACGUUUUAUUAAUUUUUCACUCGCACUAGCUACAAAGUAAUAUUUGUAUAUAUUCUCAAAUUAUUUUGGUUCAUUAAUUAAUUGUAUUUACUAUUGUGAAAAAAUAUGACAGGAGAGGAAGAAGUGAAACCAAACUGGCAUGUGCGUCGGCACAUAAUUGAAGGGAUAGCAGAAGGUCUACUCUAUAUACAUGACUAUGCACAUGCAUGUAUAGUCCACAGAGACCUGAAACCUAGCAACAUACUGCUAGAUCAUGAAAUGAAUCCCAAAAUUUCAGAUUUUGGUAUUGCUAGGAUUUGCCUCUCCAGUGUGACAGAAUCAAAUACGACAACAGCAAUAGGAACAUUGUAAGUAUAUCUACCCUUUAAUUUUAUGUGAGGCACUUCCCUAUCAUUUUAGGAUUUGUAGUUUUCUAGCUCGCUAGUCUUCAAUCUGCUGAGAAGUUUGUACUUACACAUUAAUGAACAUUUUCCUUUGAAGCCAUGAUAGUAUAUAUAGCUAGAAUACUCACCAUUGUUUUACAACAUGUAGAUUCCACAUUAAAUUUGUAUAUUUUAGUACAAACUAGCAUGGUGGUCUGCGCAGAUUACUCGGUUAGCAUCAUUAUAUUUUCUCUCAUAUAAUAGCAUAUAUAUUUUCUCAAUGUAUUAUUCAAAUAUAUUAAAAUGGCAACAUAAUUUUAAAUUUUGUACUAACUUUACAAAACUACUAAUGUGUAAUAUUUAUAUUCUAUUUUAUAUACGUGUUAGUUAUUAAUUAUUUUUAAUAUCAAAUUUUAGUUAUUUCUAAAUUAUAUUCCUAUAUAGACUCUAGACUCGUAUUUCAAUAUUUCUUUUUUUAAUUCCGAAUUUUCGUUAUCUGUAAAUUGUAUUUCUAUAUAGACUUUAGGCUCUUCUUCCAAUAUUAUUUAUUUUUAAUUCUGAAUUUUUAUUUUUUCUAAUUGUAUUUCUAUGUGGACUCUAAAGUCAUCCUUCAAUAUUCUUUAAUUUUUAAUUUUGAAUUUCAGUUACUUUUAAAUUGCAUUCAUAUAUUGACUUUAGACUCUUCUUUCCAUAUUUUUUUAUUUCUAAUUUUAGUUAUUUGUAAAUUGUAUUUUUAUAUGAACUCUAAACUUUACUUUUAAUAUUACUAGAAAAAUACCCGUGCGUUGUAACGGGUGAAGUCUAUGUUAAUCUUAUUAGUGUUAUAUGGUUUAGUUAAGAUGAAAUUCACUGUGGGAGUUCGCUUGGAUAUAUAUAUAUUUAGAAAAUCAUGAGCUGCGGUUAGGAGUCCGAUCGUCUCAAGUUAGCAUGCGAGCUUUUUUAAACAUAUUUCUUAUAUGAUUCCUUAUGUAUUACCAAAAGUGAACGAUUUUAAAAACCGGCUCAAAUACAAAUAUGUAUUUCCAAAAGCAAACGAACUUAGAAACCAACUCAUACACGGAUGACGUACCAAAAUACCGAAAAAAACAUCUUCAAUUUUUACAAUAUUAGAGAUUAUGUUUAUUCCGAAUUUUAGUUAGUUUUAAAUUCCUAUAUGGACUCUAUACUCUACUUCUAAUAUUCCUUAGUUUUAAUUCCUAAUUUCUAUUAUUUCUUAAUUAUAUUUCUAUAUGGACUCUAUACUCUUCUUCUAAUAUUUUUUAUUUUUAAUUCUGAAUAUCAGUUAUUUAUAAAUUGUAUUUCUAUAUGGACUUUAGUCUCCUCUUCCAAUAUUCCUUAUUUUUUAAUUCCGAAUUUCAACUAUUUCUAAAUUGUAUUUCUAUAUGGACUCUGUUUUUCUUUUUCUCCGAUUAAUAUGAGAAUUUCUAAGCCAUGAGAGCGAACGUGGAGGCUCCUUUUUCUAUUUCUUUAAUAAGUUAAUAGAUUACACUAAGGUCGAUCUUAAAUCAUCUCAUAGAGUAUAUAUAUAUAUAUAUAUAUAUAUAUAUAUAUAUAUAUAGACACACUCAAGAAGUGAUAUUUAGUAUUACAAAAUGCAUGUGGAAUACUAGGUAGAAUUGACUAGUGUAAGGAAUCUUCACCCCUCCUAUUCUAUAAUCAUGACAAAUCCUUAUCACUUGUCAAGAUCUAUGUGGACUUAUUCAAACAAGUGAUAUACUCAGGUUAAAUGACUAAUUUUACCAUUCUCGAGAAAAUAUUGGAAGGUAUCUGUAGCGCCCGUUCCGUCGUGGCGCCUAGCGGAAAAAUUAUCUCUUAAAAACCCUAAUUGCGAAAUUUGUUUCUUUGCUUGUUAUCUAGUGACCGUACCAUCUCAGAUCUCAAAUCCCCGAUCUAUCGUCGAGUUCAAUUCCGAAUCCAAAUCCUUCCAAAUCAAUUCCUCCGCAAAAGUCUAUUUUGCCUCCCCCGGGUUCGAUGGGCCGAAUCUCUCUCGGCCCAUCUUCCCCUCCCCUCCCCGGCGCCCUCUCUCUCUCUCUCUCUCUCUCUCCCUCCGCUCCGCUCCGCCCGCGCGCCGCGUGCGCGCGAGCGCGUGAGCCGCGCCGAGCGCCCCUCCUCCGCUCCCUCCGCCCUGCCCGCGCGUGUGUGAGCCGCCGCGCCGAGCGCCUCCCUCCCCCUCCGCUCUACGCGCGCGCGUGUGCGUGAGCCGCCCGCGCCGAGCCGAGCCGUCCUUUUCGCUCCCUCGCUGCCGCUCCCCGCGCGUCGUUCGCGCGCGCGCCCGCGUGGUCGUCGCCCUCGUCGCGUCUGCGCCGCCCGGCCCCGCUGCCCUGCCGCGCCUGCAACCGCGCAGCCGCUCGGCCCCGCAAGCCAACGCGCGUGCCCGAGCCGCGCCGCCCGUUGUUUCCCGCGCGCGCGUGCCGUGGUGGCCGACCGCCUGGUCGCCGCCGCCGUCAGCCUCUGCCGCGCCUGCCGCCCGUGUCGCCGCUCCGCUCCAAACCGCCCCGCCGUCAUCGCCGUCGUCAUCGCCCGGCCCCCGCUACUCCGCGCGCAAGCUGCCAAGGGACGGAGGCAGAGCCCCUCCCCUCCCUCUGCCGCGUCGCCCCCGCUCCCCUCAUCCUUUUCCCAAAGAAGCAAAGGGUGAGCUCCCCUUUCUCUCCCUCCUUUUUCCCUUUUUCCCUCUCGCCGGCGUCACCUCCUAUCGCCGUUUUGGCCGCUAGCCGGAGCGCCAGCUCGUUGGCUUGACCGUCCAAUGUCGGUUCCCCUCUCCCAAACCGACAUUGCCGCCCCUAUAAACCAAGGCGCCCUCCCAUCGAUUCCCCCCCCCGUUUCGCUCAUCGCCUCCGUGCCAUUGCCGCCGCCUUCCGUGCUCCGUCUCGCCUCCGCCGUUCAUCGCCAAGCGUCGGGAGAGCCGGUGCGUUCGUGGACGCGGAAGGGGACUCCGGGCGCGCCCUCUCCUUCCUCUUCCCCGGCCCGAGGCCGGAGAGAUUACUCCCGCGCCGUCGGCCUCUCGUCACUGCGCCCCGUCUCGCACGGUAGUGCAUCUCCCCGUUCUCCCUCCUCGUUCCAUCUCUCCCCCUUAGUUUUCGGUAGUAGCUCGAGUAGCCUCCCCGUAGCUAGCCGGCGCCGCCCCGACCGUUGCCAUCGCUCGCCGUGUGCUCGCCGCCGUCGCCGCCCGUGCUCCGUAGCACCCGCUCGUCGCCGGCCUCGCUCGGCGUAGCUCCGCCCAAUCCGACGCUAGCAGCGGAUUCCCGCGGCCGCGUAGAUGCUCUCGCCGCCGGGAAUUGGCCCCUCGUGACCUCGUCGCCUUUUCCCCCUUCUUCCGCCGCCGCUUGCCGCCGCCGCAAUUCGUCGCCGUCAAGCUCCCUCCGGCGAAUCCGAGCCGUUGGCUCGUCUCCCCUUGUCCUGUGCAAACACCCGGUGUGCUCGCUUUCGCCUGUAUCGCCGUGGUUCGCUCCGCCGCUCGCCGCUGUCGUCCGCCGUCCGUUCCGGCCGGCGUCGUCGUCUACCUCCCGCUGGCCCGUGUGGCUGCCACGUAGGCGCCACCUCGGCGCCACCUCGGCCGCGACCGGAUCAGCUGACCCAGCCAGCUGCUCCCUCCGUUUUUCCUCCCGUGCGCAUGGUCCGCGGUGAGCCGUGAGGCUGCGCGUGGGCCCGCCGCAUCCGUUCCUGCGCGAACCACGCGCGUGCACCGCGUCCCAACCCCGCCCGCGCGCGUGCGCCACGUGCUCCCUCCGCACGGUGAGCCGAGCCGCUGACUAGCGGGUCCCACCCGGGACCGCGCGUGGUGAGCCCGGUCCACCGACCCCCUCUCUCCUCCCCUCCCGCGUGCGCUCUGGGCCGCCUUUUGGGCCGGCCGGCCCAUUAAGACUCGGCUGAGCCGCCCCAAAUCUCUUGGGCCGCACCCUAGCCGCCCGAGAAAAGUCUAUAUUCCCUCCCUCCUUUCUUUUCUUUUUUUUCUUUUCCAAAAAGGAUUUAAUUAAAUCCUUUUCCUUUAGACCAAAAAUCCAAUAAUCUUAGAAAUUCAAUAUCUUCCCAACCGUAAGUCCGUUUGACUCCGUUCAACUUCCAAAAUUUCUCAAAUCUCGAGAUCUAUCUAAUGGCAUGCUUAGAGGUCAUUAAUAGGGCUUUAUUUUCGCCGUUUGUUGAGUUGUCCCGUUUCACGUGUAGUUUCGGAGCCCGAAGUCCCGCAGUGCGAGGAUUUCGAGGAUCAAGCUCCAGAUCUCGAGCAAGGCAAGCCACCUUUGAACAUCUUGAGCCUAUAUUUGAAAUUUAAUUAUGUUGCUUGAAAAAUAUUAUGCAUUGUUAGGAUCGCACUUAAUCUGUUUGCCCCGUCUGCGAGGCAGAUUAGUGGGCAUACCUAAUUUGUUGCAUUUGAUCCUUCCUUUGUUAAUUGUUAUAUCAUGUCCCCCUUGUAUCCAUCUAGUUGCGUCUCGAUAUUCUUGCACCCAGUGCGAGUAUCGAUGGACGCCUUCAAACUUAAUAUUUGAAUAACAACUUGGGUAAAACUUGGGUUUUACAAAGACUUGGAAAACCCGACACCUGGGUCGGUGCUUGUGAACUAAAUGAAUUUCCAAAACCGCGGACCGGGGAACGUACCGGGUGUACGGUUUCCCGCUCUCGCACUUAAGGACCGUUUCCUUGGAAUUUCAUCCAAACAUAAGACAAGUACGACCACAUGGGUGGAAUGGGACACCCCUGGCUGAGUAACUAGCUUAUCAGGGGAGCCUUGAUGCCGAGAGACAUGUGGAUUCGCUGGGGUGGUGUCGGGGAGGACCCCCGGGCUUCCUGGCACAGUAUGGUCUGGGACCUAACCUGUUGUUGGUCUGGGACCCCUCUUGUCGGCAUAUGGUAAACCUGUGUCGGCUUUCGAAAUGCCUUGUCAUGAAAGUUUGGAGGUCUCCCGACGUGGCUGAUCCCCACGGGCUGGGUGAUCCAGGUUAGUAAUGUCGUGUGGGUAAAGUGUACUCCCUCUGCAGAGGUUAACAAACUGUUCGAACAGCCGUGCCCACGGUCAUGGGCGGAUGUGAGGUGAUUCCUAGCGUAGUUUUGUUUGACUACUGCUUGUGAAAUUACUGUUGUGGAAAGGGGUUCGAUGUUUGAAAAAUCUGCAGCUGAUGGGAUCAGCUAGGCCCGGGUGGCCGUUUGAAAGUUGUUGGCCCGGGUGGCCGUUUGAAAAGUUGUUGGCCCGGGUGGCCGUUUGAAAAGCUAUUGGCCGGGUGCCAACCCUGUUUCAAUUCUAAAGACUGAUACAUUACACAUACUCCGACCGGACGAGACGCACUGUCUCAUCCGUGUCGUUUGAGAAGCACUCACUUAGUUGUUUUUAGAAAAGAGUUCAAAUAAAAUCAAUUGCAAAAAAAAAUAUAGCAGCCUUUCCUUGAAGCCUGCAUUAAACACUUAUUUCCCAUGGCUUGCUGAGUACUCCCGUACUCACCCUUGCUCUAUAUAAAUAAUUCCCCCCCCCCCAAGUUGCUGAAGAAGAUGAAGCGGAUACUGCUGAUGAGGAGUUCUUCCAGGAGCAAGCCGGCUACGAUGAGUUUUAGGGUUUCGGCCUAGUUCCCAAGUCGCGCCUGUGUCGUUUGGUCCAAGUCCUGGCUUCCGUUUCCCUUCUGUAAUGCAGUUGUGAGCUCGGGAUCUGUCCGCAGCCCAACAUGACUGUACCUCUACUCUAUAAUAAAGAGACCUCUGUUGCUGUGAUAUUCUGUCUUCCUGUGAUACCAGCACUGUUUCCUGGGACUGGUAUCGAUUAACAGGUUAAUUUGGAACGUCACGGGCUAGUUCCGGUCGGGGCUAGUUUGGGGCGUGACAAGAGAUGGUAUCAGAGCACAGGCUUGGCCCUAGGGCGAAACCCGACGUUUAGGACGACCCUAAGGAUACUAAGUUCAAAACUACUUGCGAAAAGCUAAGGUUUCUUUUGUUUUCUUUAUUUCCAAUAGUUUGUUUCUAAAAUGGUUACUGAUCUUUUCUCCCUCUUUCAAAAUUGUAGAUGGCAGUGAACGCCAGCUUCAGUUCCCACGGUUUCGGUGAGGGUCACCACGUCGCUCAGCUUCGUGACCUCGCCCGUUUCCUUGGCUUCUCGUGUCCCGAGUACACGGGGUACUCCGUGGACCGUGUUCCCCCUCACUGUGAGCUCUCUGUGUACCUUUACCCUCGUGGAGGUAUACACGGAGCUGGCCUUCGCCCACACCACUUCACCGUGGCCAGGCCCACUCUCCAGAUCGCGUACCAGGACCUCUCCUGGACUGCGCUUCGUCGCUUGGCCCACGACUACAGCCACCGUCUCGGAGGCUCCGCCUUCCGGCAGCUUCCACGCCUUCCUUCUGGCCACGCAGACGCCAGGUACCCUUGUCCGUACAGCGAGUCUCAGCCAGUGCUGACUCGCAUGGUUGAGCUUUCGGAGGCUCAGGCCACUCAGCACGACCUACUCCUUGAGGCUUACCGCUCCCUUGCCCGUCGCUACGCCGCUUUGGAGGCCCGUCUGGCCGAGGAGGGUGUCACCUCAGUUGACACUAUCUCUUGGGACUCAGGUCGCCUCUGCCGCGCCAGCCACCUGUCCUCCCACAGCUCCAGCGGCUCUGCCCGCACUCCCAGUGGCCCGCGCUCCCCCAGCUCGCGUGCGCCGUACUCACCAGUGUACUCCCCCUACCCACACCCAGUUAGCCCCUCCUACACCCCCGGACACACCCCAGUUGCUUCCUCCCGCCGUGGCCCACGCUUUAUCCGCACUGCGCGGAAGCGUGUUGUUGGUUCUUCCACCGUGUUCCGUUUCCACUACCCAGCUCCCCCACCGCCAGCGCCCCGUGCUGCUGCCGGCCCUCGACAGGUUCCGCCGGUCCCUUCGCGUCAGCCGAUCGAUGUUUCUUCGACUGAGGAGCCGACUACAGGAGGCAGCCAGGCCGACGAGGAGUAGAGGAGGCAGUCUUCAGCAGCCGUCCGUGUGUUAGGCCCUUUUGUUCCGCCGCCAACUCUUUUGGAGUCGUGGUGAGGUAGUGUGUGCGUGUGUUUGUUGUGGGUGUUGUUUGGUAGUCUGGUUCUCCUAGGUGGUGUGCGCACAGUCAAGCUCGGCGUAGCUCUGUGACUUGUACACACCCGUUGUAUCAGGUGUUUUUAUGAUUUGAAAAAUCCAGUUUAUGCCUAGUGUGUGCUAUCUGAGUUGCUAUUUACUUUGCUCCUUGCCCUCCUAAGUGCUUAUCUGACUCUUACCCCGCCCUUUUCUGGGAGUUUAGAUGGCUAGCCACCCCCGCCGUGCAGCUCGUGCACCAGCCCGCUUUGGUUUUGAAGAUGGUAGAGUCGAGCCAGAAGCAAAUCAUGAGUCAGCUAAUGAGCAGUCUCACCACAGCAACCGUUCGCACCGUACUGCUUCCCGCAACGCAGAAGUUGAGCAACCCCGCCGCAGCCACCGCUCGCAUCACACAGCUUCCCGUAAUACAGAAAUGGAACAGUCUCACCGCUCUCACCGCACUGCUAGUCACAAUUCUGGAGAAGAACGCCUCCCUUCCCCACCUCAUGUGGAAAACAACAUGCAGCACCUGAUGGCAGUUCAGACACAAAUCUUGCAAGGAUUAGCCGCAGCCGUAGCCGGUUUUCAGCAUAAUGCGCAGGGAAAUGGCCACCCUCACAUGAACAACAAUAGAUCCAAGCUGACAGAUUUUCUGAGGUCUCGUCCGCCAGAAUUCUCUCAGACCGUCGAGCCCGUCGAGGCUGACGAUUGGCUGAAAGAUGUUGAUAGAAAACUCAACUUAGUGCAGUGUACUCCUGUUGAGAAGACGCUCUACGCCUCUCACUAGCUAAGAGGACCUGCUGUAGAUUGGUGGGAGAAUUACUGCAAUGCACACCCUGAACCCACUAACAUUGCUUGGGAUGAGUUUGCUACGGCUUUCCGUGCAGCUCAUGUGCCUGAAAGCACCAUUGACAUGAAGAAAGAGGAAUUCAACAGACUUAAGCAAGGCAACAGCAAUGUCAAUGAGUACCUAAGUAUGUUCAACAAGUUGGCUCGGUACGCUCCGGAAGAAGUGGACACAGACAAAAAGAAGAUCAGGAAGUUCUUGAAGGGAAUCGCAGUCGGAAUGAGACUCCAGUUGCUUGCUCCUGACUUCCCCACCUUUCAACAUAUGAUCAACAAGGCACUUCUACUUGAGGAUGCCAGAAAAGAGGCUACCAAAGAAUACAAGAAACGCAAGUCUAACCAUCAGGGAAAUUCUUCCCGAGGCGCACCUCGCCCUCGCUACGGUCAACCCAUGCAAUACCACCAGUCGGUCACUCAGGCUAACCGCCAGCCAGGCUACACCCCUCGUCCUCAGAUGAACCGUCCGGCACCUCAGCCACAGCAGCGUGCCCCUAGUGGCAAUCCUGCGCCAAACAGUGUUACCUCUUUCAAGUCACCGCAGGGACCGUCAGCAGUUCAGUGUUUCCGGUGCAACCAGAUGGGUCACUAUGCCAGACAGUGCCCCCAGAAUCCUAUCAACACCAACUCAGGGCAUGCUAAUGGCAGCACUGCCAGGACUUCUACUCCAGCGGCAGCUCAGUCUCGUCCUAGCUCUCAGGCAAGUGGACAAGGUUCACGUGCUUCCAACAACUUUGGUCGAGGUCGGGUGAACCACAUUCAAGCUGAAACCGCUCAGGAUGCUCCAGACGUUGUGAUGGGUAUGUUCUUUGUCAACUCCAUACCCACAAUAGUUCUGUUUGAUUCGGGAGCUUCCCAUUCCUUCAUAUCACAAGCUUUUGUAAAAAGAAAUGGUUGGAAAACCCAAAAUUUGCGUGUGCCAAUGAUAGUACAUUCCCCUGGAAGGAAUAUAAGGGCAACUCAAAUAUGCCCGGAAGUUAACCUUAGAAUUGAGGAGGUUGACUUCCUAGCCAAACCAAUAGUCCUAGACUCGCAAAGCUUGGACAUCAUCCUAGGGAUGGAUUGGUUGGCUAAGCACAAAGGACAGAUAGAUUGUGCCGAAAAAUCCAUCACCUUGCAAGGACCUGGAGGAAAGCAAGUCCGCUUUACCUCUAACACCCCUACCGCAAGUCGGUCUAUUCUAACCUGCUUACAAGUCACCACCUUGGAGUCGGUGCCUAUAGUCUGUGAAUAUCCCGACGUAUUUCCGGAAGAAUUAACGGGUAUGCCACCAGACAGAGAGGUUGAGUUUGCCAUAGAACUGGCGCCAGGCACCGCACCAAUCGCAAAAAGACCCUACCGAAUGGCAGCUAAUGAGUUAGCAGAAGUUAAAAGACAAACCGAAGAAUUGGAGAGUAAGGGUUAUGUGUGACCUAGCUCAUCCCCUUGGGGAGCCCCAGUGCUUCUGGUUAAGAAAAAGGAUGGCUCUGAGAGAACGGUAAUCGACUAUAGAGCCCUGAAUGAAGUAACCAUAAAGAACAAGUACCCGUUGCCAUGGAUUGACGAUUUGUUCGAUCAACUUAAAGGAGCAAGAGUUUUCUCAAAAAUUGACCUAAGAUCAGGUUACCACCAACUGAAAAUCAGAUAUGAAGAUAUCCCGAAGACCGCUUUCUCAACGCGUUAUGGUCUAUAUGAGUUCACAGUGAUGUCCUUCGGACUCACCAAUGCCCCAGCAUUCUUCAUGAACUUAAUGAACAAAAUCUUUAUGGAAUACCUGGACUAGUUUGUCGUGGUGUUCAUCGACAACAUCCUGAUAUACUCCAAGAAUGAGGAAGAACAUGCUGAACACCUGAGGAUGAUAAUUGAAAAGCUCAGGGAUCAUCAACUAUACGCUAAAUUCUUGAAAUGCGAAUUCUGGUUAGAUCGAGUAGCAUUUCUUGGACACGUGAUCUCCUCCAACGGUGUCGAAGUAGAUCCCAGCAAGGUUGAAGCUGUACUUGCUUGGAACCCGCCCAAGAAUGUGUCAGAAAUUCGCAGCUUCCUUGGCUUAGCUGGAUAUUAUCGAAGAUUCAUUGAAGGAUUCUCUAAGCUAGCCAGACCUAUGACCGAGCUGUUAAAGAAGGAAAAGAAAUUUCAAUGGACUGCAGCCUGUGAAGACAGCUUUCAAGAAAUGAAGAAAAGGUUGACCACUGCCCCAGUUCUCACCUUGCCAGAUAUCCAAAAAGAUUUCGAAAUCUUCUGUGAUGCAUCAAGACAAGGCUUAGGAUGUGUCCUAAUGCAAGAACGAAAGGUUGUGGCCUACGCAUCCAGGCAGCUCAGGCCUCAUGAAGUCAAUUAUCCCACCCAUGAUCUCGAGUUGGCAGCUGUGGUUCAUGCUCUUAAGAUCUGGAGACACUAUUUAAUCGGGAACAGAUGUGAAGUAUACACCGAUCACAAAAGUCUUAAGUACAUCUUUACUCAGACCGAGUUAAAUAUGAGGCAGAGAAGAUGGUUGGAACUAAUCAAGGAUUACGAUCUUGGAAUUCAUUACCACCCCGGUAAAGCUAACGUGGUCGCUGAUGCGCUAAGUCGCAAGGCCUAUUGCAAUAUAGCUCAAAUACGGCCUGACCAAGAUCGCCUGUGCAGAGAAAUGGAGAAGUUGAGGCUGACCGUGGUACAGUCAGGUGUCCCUGCCAGCUUGACAGUACAGCCUACCCUAGAGUCGCAAAUCCGGGAAGCUCAGAAAGAUGACGAAGGGAUAAGAGAGUUAAUAAAAAGAAUACAGGAGAAGAAAGACACCAAUUUCUCCAUAGACGAUCAAGGCACAGUUUGGUGCGGUCCCCGCAUCUGUGUACCGGCCAAGAAGGAGUUAAGAGAUCUCAUCCUAAAGGAAGCUCAUGAGUCCGCCUACUCCAUUCAUCUAGGAAGUACGAAGAUGUACCAAGAUAUCAAGGCAUACUUCUGGUGGGCUGGAAUGAAGCGAGAUGUCGCAGAAUACGUAGCCUUGUGCGACAUUUGCCAAAGAGUCAAGGCAGAACAUCAGAGGCCAGCUGGUCUGCUGCAACCCCUACCGAUUCCCGAGUGGAAAUGGGAAGAGAUCGGAAUGGAUUUUAUCACCGGUUUGCCAAGAACCCCUAGCGGGUACGACUCCAUCUGGGUAAUCGUGGACCGACUCACGAAAUCAGCUCAUUUCGUGCCAGUGAAAACCACCUUUGAUGGGAAGAAACUAGUAGAACUCUACAUGACCCAUGUCGUAUGUAGAUUUGGCUGUCCCAAGAAGAUUGUAUCAGAUCGAGGCACUCAGUUUACCUCAAGGUUCUGGAAGCAGUUGCAUGAAGCCCUUGGAACCGAUCUGAAUUUUAGUACGGCCUACCAUCCGCAGACCGAUGGACAGACAGAAAGGGUAAACCAAAUCCUAGAAGACAUGCUACGUGCGUGUGCCCUGGAUUUCGAAGGCACUUGGGAUCGUUGUUUGCCGUAUGCUGAGUUCUCGUACAACAACAGUUAUCAGGCCAGCAUUCAGAUGUCGCCGAAUGAGGCAAUGUUCGGAAGAAAGUGCCGCACUCCCUUGUGCUGGAAUGAGGUGGGCGAAGCGCUGGUAUUCGGUCCUGACAUACUGAAGGCAGCAGAAGAACAAGUUAAGCUGAUCCGAGAACGUUUGAAGACAGCACAGAACCGUCAGAAGAAUUACGCUGACAAUCGGAGGCGUGACCUUGAGUUCAAAAAGGGAGAUCAUGUGUACCUGCGGGUAUCACCCCUCCGUGGUAUGAGAAGGUUUGGGAUGUCCGGCAAGUUAGCACCCCGCUACAUCGGCCCCUACCUCAUAACCGCCAGAUGUGGCGAAGUGGCUUAUCAGCUUGAGUUACCUGAAGGUCUCGCAGAUGUGCACAACGUGUUCCACGUAUCCCAGUUAAAGAAAUGUCUUCGAGUUCCAGAAGAACAAGUUCCCCUGGGUAAUAUCAAGCUGGAAAAGAAUCUGACCUACAAGGAAAGACCGAUCAAGGUUCUUGAAGAGGCAGAACGUCAGACUCGAAGGAAGACCACCAAGUUCUACAAGGUCCAAUGGAGCAACCAUUCUGAAGAUAAGGCAACCUGGGAGCGAGAAGAUCUUCUCCGCGCCGAGUUCCCGGAGCUGCUCAAUUAGGUGCUGAAUCUCGGGGUCGAGAUUCUUGUUAGGGGGGUUGGUCUGUAGCGCCCGUUCCGUCGUGGCGCCUAGCGGGAAAAUUAUCUCUUAAAAACCCUAAUUGCGAAAUUUGUUUCUUUACUUGUUGUCUAGUGUCCGUACCAUCUCAGAUCUCAAAUCCCCGAUCUAUCGUCAAGUUCAAUUCCGAAUCCAAAUCCUUCCAAAUCAAUUCCUCCGCAAAAGUCUAUUUUGCCUCCCCCGGGUUCGAUGGGCCGAAUCUCUCUCGGCCCAUCUUCCCCUCCCCUCCCCGGCGCCCUCUCUCACUCUCUCUCUCUCUCUCUCUCUCUCUCCCUCCGCUCCGCUCCGCUCCGCCCGCGCGCCGCGUGCGCGCGAGCGCGUGAGCCGCGCCGAGCGCCCCUCCUCCGCUCCCUCCGCCCUGCCCGCGCGUGUGUGAGCCGCCGCGCCGAGCGCCUCCCUCCCCCUCCGCUCUGCGCGCGCGCGUGUGCGUGAGCCGCCUGCCCAUUGUUUCCCGAGCCGCGCCGCCCAUUGUUUCCCGCGCGCGCGUGCCGUGGUGGCCGACCGCCUGGUCGCCGCCGCCGUCAGCCUCUGCCGCGCCUGCCGCCCGUGUCGCCGCUCCGCUCCAAACCGCCCCGCCGUCAUCGCCGUCGUCAUCGCCCGGCCCCCGCUACUCCGCGCGCAAGCCGCCAAGGGACGGAGGCAGAGCCCCUCCCCUCCCUCUGCCGCGUCGCCCCCGCUCCCCUCCUCCUUUUCCCAAAGAAGCAAAGGGUGAGCUCCCCUUUCUCUCCCUCCUUUUUCCCUUUUUCCCUCUCGCCGGCGUCACCUCCUGUCGCCGUUUUGGCCGCUAGCCGGAGCGCCAGCUCGUCGGCUUGACCGUCCAAUGUCGGUUCCCCUCUCCCAAACCGACAUUGCCGCCCCUAUAAACCAAGGCGCCCUCCCAUCGAUUCCCCCCCCCCCCCCCCGUUUCGCUCAUCGCCUCCGUGCCAUUGCCGCCGCCUUCCGUGCUCCGUCUCGCCUCCGCCGUUCAUCGCCAAGCGCCGGGAGAGCCGGUGCGUUCGUGGACGCGGAAGGGGACUCCGGGCGCGCCCUCUCCUUCCUCUUCCCCGGCCCGAGGCCGGAGAGAUUACUCCCGCGCCGUCGGCCUCUCGUCACUGCGCCCCGUCUCGCACGGUAGUGCAUCUCCCCGUUCUCCUUCCUCGUUCCAUCUCUCCCCCUUAGUUUUCGGUAUUAGCUCGAGUAGCCUCCCCGUAGCAAGCCGGCGCCGCCUCGACCGUUGCCAUCGCUCGCCGUGUGCUCGCCGCCGUCGCCGCCCGUGCUCCGUAGCACCCGCUCGUCGCCGGCCUCGCUCGGCGUAGCUCCGCCCAAUCCGACGCUAGCAACGGAUUCCCGCGGCCGCGUAGAUGCUCUCGCCGCCGGGAAUUGGCCCCUCGUGACCUCGUCGCCUUUUCCCCCUUCUUCCGCUGCCGCUUGCCGCCGCCGCAAUUCGUCGCCGUCAAGCUCCCUCCAGCGAAUCCGAGCCGUUGGCUCGUCUCCCCUUGUCCUGUGCAACCACCCGGUGUGCUCGCUUUCGCCUGUAUCGCCGUGGUUCGCUCCGCCGCUCGCCGCUGUCGUCCGCCGUCCGUUCCGGCCGGCGUUGUCGUCUACCUCCCGCCGGCCCGCGUGGCUGCCACGUAGGCGCCACGUCGGCGCCACCUCGGCCACGACUGGAUCAGCUGACCCGGCCAGCCGCUCCCUCCGUUUUUCCUCCCGUGCGCAUGGUCCGCGGUGAGCCGUGAGGCUGCGCGUGGGCCCGCCGCAUCCGUUCCUCCGCGAACCACGCGCGUGCACCGCGUCCCAACCCCGCCCGCGCGCGUGCGCCGCGUGCUCCCUCCGCACGGUGAGCCGAGCCGCUGACAAGCGGGUCCCACCCGGGACCGCGCGUGGUGAGCCCGGUCCACCGGCCCCCUCUCUCCUCCCCUCCCGCGCGCGCUCUGGGCCGCCUUUUGGGCCGGCCGGCCCAUUAAGACUCGGCUGAGCCACCCCAAAUCUCUUGGGCCGCACCCUAGCCGCCCGAGAAAAGUCUAUAUUCCCUCCCUCCUUUCUUUUCUUUUUUUUCUUUUCCAAAAAGGAUUUAAUUAAAUCCUUUUCCUUUAGACCAAAAAUCCAAACAUAAGACAAGUACGACCACAUGGGUGGAAUGGGACACCCCUGGCUGAGUAACUAGCUUAUCAGGGGAGCCUUGAUGCCGAGUGACAUGUGGAUUCGCCGGGGUGGUGUCGGGGAGGACCCCUGGGCUUCCUGGCACAGUAUGGUCUGGGACCUAACCUGUUGUUGGUCUGGGACCCUUCUCGUCGGCAUAUGGUAAACCUGUGUCGGCUUUGGAAAUGCCUUGUCAUGAAAGCUUGGAGGUCUCCCGACGUGGCUGAUUCCCACAGGCUGGGUGAUCCGGGUUAGUAAUGUCGUGUGGGUAAAGUGUACCCCCUCUGCAGAGGUUAACAAACUGUUCGAACAGCCGUGCCCACGGUCAUGGGCGGAUGUGAGGUGAUUCCUAGCGUAGUUUUGUUUGACUACUGCUUGUGAAAUUGCUGUUGUGAAAAGGGGUUCGAUGUUUGAAAAAUCUGCAGCUGACGGGAUCAGCUAGGCCCGGGUGGCCGUUCGAAAGUUGUUGGCCGGGUGCCAAUCUUGAUCAAUUCUAAAGACUGAUACAUUGCACAAACUCCGACCGGACGAGACACACUGUCUCAUCCGUGUCGUUUGAGAAGCACUCACUUAGUUGUUUUCAAAAAGGAGUUCAAAUAAAAUCAAUUGUAAAAAUAACAGCCUUUCCUUGAAGCCUGCAUUAAACACUUAUUUCCCAUGGCUUGCUGAGUACUCCCGUACUCACCCUUGCUCUAUAUAAAUAAUCCCUCCCCCCCAGUUGCUAAAGAAGAUGAAGCGGAUCCUGCUGAUGAGGAGUUCUUCCAGGAGCAAGCCGGCUACGAUGAGUUUUAGGGUUUCGGCCUAGUUCCCAAGUCGCGCCUGUGUUGUUUGGUCCAAGUCCUGGCUUCCGCUUCCCUUUUGUAAUGCAGUUGUGAGCUCGGGAUCUGUCCGCAGCCCAACAUGACUGUACCUCUACUCUAUAAUAAAGAGACCUCUGUUGCUGUGAUAAUCUGUCUUCCUGUGAUACCAGCACUGUGUCCUAGGACUGGUAUCGAUUAACAGGUUAAUUUGGAGCGUCACGGGCUAGUUCCGGUCGGUACUAGUUCGGAGCGUGACAGUAUCACAUUUUUAAGCGUAAAAUUUAGUACCUUCGGGUACUAUACCUUGAGGAACCAAAUUUUUAGUAUAAAAUUUAGAUACAUCGACGUACUUUCUCAAGUAUUGUAAAAUUUCUUCAGGUUAAAUAGGAAUAACGGUUCUUUGAAAGCCCAUAAUUUACAUGUAUCCAACUAAUAAAAUAUAAGUGCCAAAGAAAUAAGGUAGACAUACAUUGACAUACCCAGACUAGAAAUAAAAUAAAUUAUCUACCAAAAUUGGGUCAUAUUGUCAAUGAACAUUGCUGGUAUCAGAAAAACUGUGUCCAUGAAGAUAAUCCUGGGUUCACGUCCGUUUGGUUUUGGUCAAAUGAAGUUAAAUUUGAUCUUGAAUUACCUUCUGUUGAAAUGCAUAAACGUCCUCGUCAGUCGUCUAUCUCUAGUUUAGUUGUAAAGGGAAUGUUCUACACCUAAUGAGAAAUUGAAAACGGAACCUGCAACUAGUUCAUAUACUAUUUAAAUUUCAGUCUAUCAGCAAUAAAUUGGAUUGAUCUGUUACAAUCAGAGAACUUAAGAACACGGAAAGUUCAGUGCAGAUAUUUCUUAAUUUUAAAUUUGUAAGACCAUGUGCACCAAUACGAGUUGGAGUAUUGAAUUGAACUAUUUGUUGAUAGUUGCUCAAGCUAGUAUCAUUCCGUUAACGCCAUAUUUUUAAAUUUGUUUAGUGUGGACUCUGGAGAAACCGAAUAAUAAUUUCCUUUGGAGUCACGUUGCUUUCGUCGUCGGGAGCAUUUUUCCGAUUAAUUUGGACAGCAAAAGCUACAAAAUAUCACUGCACACGAUUGCUCAAAUUACUGUGCGUUACCUGUAGUUUUUUACACAAUUAUUUUGCAUUAAAAUCUGAUGGACGCACAUGAAUCAUUUCUUUUCAGUGGAUACAUCGCGCCCGAGUACUGCUCCCAAAAUGUUUAUUCAACAAAGUCUGAUGUUUUUAGCUUUGGCAUUUUGGUUCUUGAGAUCAUAAGUGGGAAAAGAGCCGUGGGUUCAUACAAAUUAUCUGGAAGAUCAUACGAGCUCAGGAGAUAUGUGAGUGAAAAUCUCCUAAAAACUCUGCAUAUUCAUCCUUUCCUACUGAAGCUGCAUGUAUCACUGUUGCUCGUUUAUGUUUACCCUCUGAAACUUUAUAUUGUUUAAUAUUUGCUAAUAGGCUUGGCAACUUUGGAAAGAAGAGAGAUGCGACGAGUUGGUGGAUCCAUCUUUUGGAGAAGAUUACCAAGAAAUGGACAUUAUUAGGUGCAUUCAGGUGGCACUUCUGUGUGUCCAAGACAGUGCAGAGGACAGGCCAACGAUGCACGAUGUAACGACGAUGCUAAGCAACGGAAACAGGAGGUUGCUCAUGCCUGCACAACCAGGUUCAUUCAACAUAGAUAUUGGCGAUCCAGAGGAGCUCUGAUGAUGAAACCAGACUGACAGAUCGUCCAGACAAAUCAAACGUGUUUAGCCGGACGAAUUCGAUGUAGACAAAUUAAAUCAAAUUUAGAUCAAGCUAUAUAUAGGACAAUUAUUCAUGUAUAAAGUGUUGUGUUCGCCACCUGUUGGAACUAAACUGAUUGCAGAUUAAUUUCCCAUGCUCUUGGCUAAUUUGUACAGAUUGAAAAUCAAACUGCUUUGCUGUAUUUUCCAACUAGAGGAUUCAUGAACAACACAGCCCAGCUUGGUUUGUUGACAUGAUCAUUUUCUUCUUUUUGUUGAUUUAGAGCAUCUCCAACAGUCUCUCCAAAUUCCACUCUUCAAAUAUCUAUUUAGCCAACUAUCCAUUUAAUUUGACAAGUUAAAUCCGUUAUUUACUCCAACAGCCUCUCCAUUCAUCCUCUCUAUUAUGAGUCUGUAACAGCGGGACCCAUAUGUCAGCCUUCUACAUCACUUUCUUCCUCAUUAUCCUGCUCCCCCUCUUCCCCAAGCCCUUUUUGCUUGCGGCAGUGGUGCCCGCCCGCGGCGACGGCGGGGCAGCGGUGGCAGCGCGUGGCGACGGUGGGGCGGUGGUGGCCGCGCGCGGCGACGAUGGGGCGGCGGUGCUCGUGCCCGACGACGACGGGGCGACGGUGGCCGGGUGCGACGACGACGGAGCGUUCCUCCUAAUGGCGACCCUACUACUUAUUGCUCGUCUCCCCACUCGGCACCCCCCAUCUCUCUUUGUGCCAAAGGUAAUCCAUCCAUUCCAUCCAUCGAAUCCUGCUUCUUUUUUGCUUGUGCCUUGUGUUGCAAAGCAGUCUUGGAUUCCUUCUGUUCGCAUUGCCAUGAGAGUUCUAGUUCGAUCCCCAACUAAGAGCGUUUUGUUUUCGUUUUUUAUUCUGUUCGUUCGUUCUUUCGAUCUGCAGAUCCUACAAACUCGCCUCGCGAAUAACGAUGGCAUCGUCGCUGCCGUCGUCUGACCCGUCCUUGGAGACCGCAGAGGAAGGAGAGGGAAGACGUCGGCUCCCUGUGGAUGGUGGCCGCGGCGCAAGGAGACGAGAGGAUGUGGUGUGGUAGCGGAGCUGGAGGGAGAGGAGAAGCUCGGGUAGAGGAGAGCUGGGGGAUAGCCAGCCUAGGAGGCUGGCCAAUAUUAGCCAGUGGGUGGGCUUGAAUGGAGAGGCAAUGGAGAGUUUGUUGGAGGAGUGUUUUUGGUUCAUUUGUCAAAUUUUUAGCUUGGAGAGCUUAGUAGAGAAGCUGUCGGAGAUGCUCUUAUUGGGCUUGGGCUUGAGCUUGAAAACUCGGCCACUAUAUCAACUGAGGUCAAGAGAUAUAAGCCCAUAUAUAUACGCUAGUAUGGAGAUUUCACCAUGAACGUCCUACUAGUACUCAGAAAUCAUACUAGUACACGUAACAAUCCAAUUCAGUAUCCAACUAGCUCAAUUUAUUUGUUCCAACAGCAUCACAUGUACUGUAUAUGCACAAGGAUCACACAGCUAGCACCAGUUAAGCUCGUCCCAGCGCCACACGAAAAUGUAACCAAGGACGGUCGCGAUCGUCACUUCUAGCUACUACAACCAAUAUACAUAGUACAUACUGCAAAUCUGCAAUCUGCAAAGCGCUGCAACACCACACGCGACAGAUACUUCAUCAUCAGGUGCCCUCCGCCCCGGACAUCUUGCUCAGCCUGCUGGGCUGCUUGGAGUCCUUGCCGCCGGCCACCGCCUGCUGCCUCUGCCUCGCCGCGCCGCGGCACCGGCUCGUCGUCGUCGGCCCGUACAGCGCCCGCUGCGCCACCGCGCCGGCGUACAGGUCCACCCUCGACUUACCGCCGCCGCCGCCGCCGAUGCCGUCGGAGCCCUGGCUGAUGAUCUUCUUCGUCGUCUGGUGGUGGUGGCCACCGUGAUGAUCAGCAGCUGACGCCUCCAUGUCGUCCUGAUGCGAAAACACUAAUUGCGAGUGGUGCAAGUGAGAUCUAGCUAGUAGUGUGAGAUACAACGCACGAUGCGUGGGAGCCGGAAUUUAUAGUGGCUUGGGGGUUGAAACUUCCCAAGGGGAAAGGAAUCUGGCGACGUGUGGAUGUGGUGUUCGCUUGCAUUGGUAGGAGAAGGCACUGAGGUAUGUGUGGAGACCUUUUUCUGUUUUUUUGGCUUUUUUUGGGUCUUAGUCGCUUCAGGGGAUGGUAAACACCACUCUAAAUUUUAAGCCCAAGGUAUCCACGUGUGAGCCUUAGUUCAUCUUAAGCUCACGAGAACCCUCGGUGGUGGACUGGUGGUAUGGUAGUAGGUCCGGCUAGAUUACACCGUACGUAGUGACUUCAUCUUUCAUAAAAUGAUCAAUUCUAGAUUUCGGCCAGCUGGAGACCUUCCCCCGACAAUCUUAAGGCAAUUUUAUUUUUUUUUUACGAAACACUGUGAUUUCGCGGUUUUGGUUGUAGAACGCCACAUGAAAUGACUUUUAAGAAAUUUUGGAAAAGUUACUCUAAACAUGAAAACAAGCUCGUGGACACCUCAUCCAUUAGAAUAUUUAUUUAUGAUUGAAUAGGAGAGAGAAACCUUGUGAAAUUUCUAAAGUAUCCCUGUACCCACUUGUCAGUUCUUCAAUCACGAGUCUGGUUUUUAUUAUGGUUUGGUUACUAUUUGACCUAUUCAGAAUUCGGCACUUUCCUCUUCGUUAUCAGGUCAAUCCAAAACGAGGAGUGGGGAGAUGAGUGAGGGCGUGAGGAAUUCGGCAAGGAACGGCCAUGAGGAUGAUGACUGAGCACGUCCCAUGGUGUAACUCUUUCGUACAUGGCUGAAGCAAGUAUUGAGAAGAACUAAAGCGAUGGGAACAUGACCGACAAAGGCACUAUCCCGAAGGAGAGAUAAACAUCGGUGGUGAGCUCCGGCGGUGAAUAUGACCAAGGGAGCGCAUCAAAGCGUGUUAUCGGACGAUAUAUUCCAUUUUUCUAGAACUUGUUGAUGGAUGUGGAGCAAAGGUGGUAGCAUCUAUGGCGGCCAUCCAUGGCGAAGAAGAGGAAGGGAAAGUUGAGGGCAAACCCUCACCGAAGCGAUGAGGAGGCCGGGGUGCAGGAGUGUCCCGGUGACCAGUGACGGCAUUUUAGAACUUAGAGGCUUACAAUAAUGCCCUAUGUGCGAAAGAGAAAGAUAGAGAUAGAGAGAUGGGAGACCUGAUAUGUGGAUCUAGGGAGGCUUAUAAUCAGAACUUUCACAUGGUUUUACUCUACUGUUCAACCAGAAACAAAUAUUCUAAUGGUCGUGGUGUUCACGAGUUAAUUUUCACAUUCAUCGAGUGCCUUCACCCAGAAGUUACUUCAUGUGAUGUUCUACAGUUAAUACCACGAAGUCAUAAUGUCCUGUAGCAAAAUUUUUCAAAAUUCAAUUGAUUAUUAUAUAACCGUAUGAGCGUAAAGGGUCUUUCCCACUUGGUGAUAGACUCCCCAACUUAUAUCUUUGGACUUUUUCCAAUUCCACAACCAAUUACUGUGGGACUAUUUAACAUUAACCAUGCAAUUUUUUCGAGAUUCAUGCUUAAUUUGAGCUCCGAUACACUGCUAGUGGUGGCACCAAAUUGUGAUAAGGCUAGUAUAGCUAGGACUUGAGCCUUAGGCUAAAUGCAUGAUGCAUAAUUUAUCUCAAAAUUUAGUAAAAGUUUUGAAGAUAAAUGAUGCAAAAUGCAUCAAGUUAAUUCAGCCCUCCUCUUAAAGAUUUCUUGUCUCACAACUGUACGUCGUCGUAGAUGCCCUUACAUAUGUGCAAUGACAUGUCGUAGAGUGUGGAGAGGCGGCCAUUUUGAACCAAUGACAGUUACUUGAACAGUUGUAACAGAUGCGUCCAUAUUAUGCAGGUUGCGAUGGAUCCACCAGCGGCAGCCAGAGAGCAGAUCUUUUUAUCUUCUCAUGGUCAUCCCGGAGGUUUAUUCUUUGGAGAUCUCGAAAGGAUAAGAAAAUGUGGUAACGCAAGGUCGGUGGAGAAGAGAAGGAAUCAGGGGUUUCUCUCUGAAAGGGAGUUUCUCAACUUUCUUGGCCUAUGAUGAAGAGGAUCAUUCCAUGCCAAUAGGCAGACGGCAGAAAAGGCCUCAAUGAUGAAAAAGGGGGCUCAGGGCUUGCUGUGGAUCAAGUUGAAUGUCCAAGAAUAUUCAAAAGCUUGCUCUGUGGGGGGUUCCAAAAGGAUGGAUGGAUUGAUACAAGACAUGUGGAAUUUUGCUUUGCACAAGUGUACUGGUCAAUGAUAUAUACCACAUUUUUACGAAACAUGAUAUUUUUAUAUAACUAAAAAUAUAGCCCGCGCACAUGCGUGGACACUUAUUCGAUGUGCUUGAAAUUUUCGUAUUCGAUGUGCCUUUUUAUUGAAAUGAUUUUUACUCUAUUAUAAACAUGUUUUUUGUCAAAAAUUUAUUUUCUUAAUUAUCCUUGCAGCAUAUAAAUUCUAAACUAAAAUUAAAUUACUUGGAACUUUGCGGUUUUUAAUUUAUGAGUUAUGACGACGUAUUGUCCCAUAAUAACCUACUUCCUCCAUUUUUAAAAUUAUUGAUGUUUUAGGCUUGUGAUCUAAGGUUGCUAAUUCUUGACGAUCUAGGCUUAGCCUACUUAUCUAAGACUUUUUUGCCCCUGCAUGCAUGCAUCACAUUAGAUCAAGCCAGCCAUCUCAUGCGUGUGUGCACUUCGCAGCUCGCAAGCCAGCUAUGUUCGGCAUCCAUUCUUCCCAACUCAUCUCUCUCAUUUUUCACGCGCACGCGUUUCAAACGGUUAAACGGUGUGUUUUUUUAAAAAAAAAUUCUAUACGAAAGUUAUUUAAAAAAAUCAAAUUAAUCCAUUUUUUUUAAAAAAAUAGCUAAUACUUAAUUAAUCACGUGCUAAUGGAUCGCUCCGUUUUUCGUGCAGACGGUUCCUUUUGGGAAUAAGGGGUGCCGAACACACCGGUGCUGCAUGCAUGCUUUCUCGUUGCUACUGCUUUGCUGCUUCGCCUUCUUCAUCUUCAUCUUGUCUUCUCAUGUGUUUCUUUUUUUAAUAUUCAGCAUACCUAGAUUUUUUUUUUGAGUAAAUUUCAUUUUGGGCUAGGUUUAAUAGCCAAAAUUUCACUAUGGACUAGGCCUAAGCCCAUAUUUUCACAUAACUCGAGAUAAAAAUUACCUUCCUUUGCACUUUGGAUCGGGUUGCACUGAUUUGAACCGCCACGUCGUCUUCGGUCCAAUCCACGUGAGCAAUGGCUGGUGGACUCAGUCCAUGGGAGAAUCGUGGGGAGUCUCCUAGACUCAGUGCGUAUUCCGCUCGAGAGAGAGCGCAUAGCGGCACAGAAGGCCGGGCGCCACCGCCGCCGUCACUGCCGCUGCCAUCGCCGUCGCCGCCGCCCCCGGCCGUCGCUGCCGCCCCAGCCGCUGCCGUUGCCGCCUCCGUCGCUGCCGCUUGAACUUUGAAGUGUGCUCCUUGUGGGGACAACAUGCAGGAGAGACGGCGGUUAAACUAGAUUCUUGCAGGGUUGUCUGCUCUUGUUGGGGGCACUUCAAGCACCUCAGUAAUGCCAUUACAAGGCAGCAGGAAAAUUAAAUCAGCAAUUUCUGCUACUACGUUUGAUUACCUUCAGAAUCCAUGCAAGAAUCAAGAAGGAUGGAGCCGCUGCUGCUUGCUAACUCCAGGCGCUCUUGAUGGCUACAGCUGAUGAGGGGAGAGCAGUCGAGCGGACACAUCGAGCAGCCGACGAAAUCUUGAUCAGGGACAACCAAAUCCUAUAUAUUCGGGGCAGUGCCGUAGCCGGGGUAAGGGGGGCUAUCAUCUGCCGGGGGCGUGGUGGUGCCGCCGCCGGUGCCGUGCUUGAACCCUCGCGGCGUCGGCUUCGCGCCCUACACGCGUGACUUCCCGCGCGCGUAGUUCCUCUCACCGCGAAUAGAGUUUUCCACGCCAUCUCUUUUACCGUCAAGGUCUUGCUCACGUGGAUUGGACCGAAGACGACGUGGCGGCCCAAAUCAGUGCAACCCGGUCCAAAGUGUAAAGAAAGGUAAUUUUACUUAUAGAUCGUCAUAUGGCCCAAGGCCCAUGGCCCAGCCCGAAGCCUGCAAUUUUGGCCCAGCCUAAGCUCGGCAGGGCCCGACUGGGGUCGUGCCCGUGCCGGCCCGGCCCGGUACAGCCCGAUCAAAUAAAAAAAUAUAGGGAUGCAAAAUAGACUUAUAUAAUCAUGUAAGGCAAGGCCCAAGACAAGAGGUAUACAAAAUAGACUUAUUUUCUAGCUAUUUAAACACAGCCGCAGAGUUAAGGGACCAAAAAUAGACUUUUUCUGUGAGCAGGCACGAUGGGCCUUCAUGCCUUCGGGCCGGCCCGGCAGGCCCAAGUAGUAUUGGGCCGUGCCUAGGCCGUGGAUGUCGCCCGUGGGCUGGCACAGCACGGGCCGGUGUGUCGGUCGGGCCGUGCCGGCCCAACAAGCCUUGGCCCAGGCACGGCCGGGCGGCCCAGAUGGCCAUCUAUAAUUUUACCUGGUGUUAUGUGAAAAUAUGGGUUUAGGCCUACUCCGUAGUGAAACUUUGACUAUUAAACCGGGCCCAAAGUGAAAUUUACUCUCUUUUUUUUCUAAACUAACAUUUUUCUGGUAUACUGUAGAUGUUCUUAUGGAUUUUAGGAUAUAUUAACUGAAUAUAUUUUCUAUUGAAAUAUGGCUAAUAGGACUACUUAAUGUAAUUAAAUAAACUUAUAUUUAUUUCUACUCCCUUCAGCCUUAUAAAUUCAAGAAUUCAAAUUUUGACUCAAGAUGUAAAGGAUUGAGUACCACUUGUCCCAUUGAAGCAUGUAGUAUUAUUUAUUGUCCAAUCUUAAUCCAACCACCUUCCAUUCUCUACCAACCCUUUACGUAAUGAUGGAUAUCAUAGUCUUUUUCCUUCCUCCUUGAUUGCUGCAAAAAUCUUUUUCCCUUCCUCCUUGAUUACUGCUAAAAUCAUAGGAUCUCCCUUAUUUUAUAGGAUAUAGAUGGUAAUUACCAAGAGCAUCAUUUAUGGGCAUUGGCAUAGCCAUUUAAGUUAUUAAGAAUAGACACGUUGUUACUAAAUCGACUCUCACCACUCCAAAAUUGAUUUCCAUGGAUCCCACCAUGCCUAUGGGAAAGGAGGAUAAGUGACAAACGACGUCAGUGAUCAGAGGUCCCUAGCACCAAGAUAUAUAGACGAUGCAAUAGAGAGAGGAUGAUCAUGUAUGUCUGAUGCAGUGCGAUUGUCAUAGUAAAGGUGAACAAUUAACCUCAAAUUUAGAAGUGGUGAUCGGAGGUCCCUAGCACCAAGAUAUAUAGAUGAUGCAAUAGAGAGAGGAUGAUCAUGUAUGUCCGAUGCAAUGCGAUUGUCAUAGUAAAGGUGGACAAUUAACCUCAAAUUUAGAAGUGGUGAUAGUUGAUGAUGAGGAAUACUAUAGCGAAGUACUUGAUUACGUCAACACUUUAAUUAUGUCAUUUGAAUUUUAGAUGUCAGGUGCUAUAUUAAAAUAAGAUUAUGGAUAUAAAUGUGCAUUUUAUAAAUUUAUAGACAUAGAUAACACACAUUUGAGAAGAAAAGAGAGAGGAAGAAGCACGGAAUGGUGGAGGCUAAAGGGAGAGCUAGCAAUGACUCUAUACUUUGGCUUUUUAACAGCCCAUAAAUAUAACUCUGGUUUUAUAGUUUUCAUAGAGAGAAAACAAAAGGAAAGAAGUGUGUGUAGCGGAAGGGCGCACGCUGCAUGGGGGAGGGUGGGAAGGAGAUAAAUAUUUAGUUGUUGAAAGGAUUGGUCCACCAAUUUGAUUUAAAAUUAAGAGUCAGAUGUUGUUUUUUCCAGAAUUUGUAUGAUCGUCUCUAAUCUUUACGGCUCUGGCACUACAGGGCAUUCUUGUUUUUAUGAAAGUCGUUGUACAAAAAUGUUGAUUAAUAAUUAAACUAACAAUGCACGUGGUUAGUUUCAUAUUUAUGAUAUCCUUAUAUUUAUAUUUGAAAACAAUUCAACUUAUAUAUGUUAAUUUGCUACUCAAUACGUGUCUUUAAUUGUUCAUUUAAUUAAUAAAAUGGUUGAAACCGAUUAUAAAUUGGAUGUACAACUAAAAGUUGUGGUAAAAGAAUCAAAUCAUCAUCGAGAGAGAGUUUAUGAAUUAGUCUAUGGCUCUUGGUGAUCUGAUCUGAGUCACCACGUAACUAUAGAGAGACAGGUUUGGUGGACAUAUUUUCUGUGUGUGUAUUAUGGGCUACGGACCGAAGGAGGUAGCCAGGUUGACACUGGGUGUUUGUGGACUAUGUACGUGAACUUGUUGAGAGAGGGGUGGGUUCAAGCGGUUGAUCGUGGAAGGUGAAGCCCGUAGUCUGAGACCAGUCCUUUGUGGACCAAGAUUAUGAAAGUGGGAUAUAGUAGGAGUGUGUGAACCGAGAUCUCAUUCAUUUCUUGUUAGCUAGGGCCAUCAUAUUAUUGUGAGCAUGUUAAUUUCCCAAGCUUACAAAUAGGUAUGAGUUUUACGGAAAACUUCCUCAUCAGCAUCUCUUUAAAAAAUCAAAAUAAUUAACUCAUAAACGUUUUUAUUUAAUUUGUUUACUUGUGUCCUCUAAUACUUGUCAUAAACAUAGGCUAUCAAUUAUUCGUCAGCACUGUUAAACAGGCAUGAGUUCACGUGCUUGGGUUGAUGGACUUUGGUCACACAUGAAAACAACUGGCGGCAUAUAUUUGGCCUGGCGAACAGCAGCGAUGUGGAGCAAAAGGUUGGCACUGACAGCUAAAGGAUGAAACGGGAAGCACUAUCUCCAAUUUAAAAUAACUUUAUUUUUAACCCAUUUCAUAUAUAAUAAUACGAAGACAAAAUAAAAUAAAACGCCCUAUAUUUUAUCGAGUUGCAAUAAAAAUAUCUCUUCUUUAUCUAAUUCGAAAGCAUUUAUCUUCUACUUUCACGAACUCUAAUGUAAUUGCUUGAAACAUAAAGUUAUUUUAGGAUGACAAGCCAGAUGCUUAAAAAUAAAGUUAUUUUGAGACGGAGAGAGUAGGAAUCACCGAAUCAAUAUGGCUCAGAUCGGACUGCAGGCGACCGAGGUACGCUAUGUGGUUCGUUGCGCGAAGUUAAUUAUGGGUUAUCGGCACCUAGAGGAGCAAGGAUCAAUUGGUCACAACAGCCACGAUCUAUCGAUUGACGGCGCGCACGCGGCGGCCGAGAAGCUAGCUAGGGUAAGUGCCCGACCGCGGCCGUCGUUGGCAGAGAAACGCCGGCUCGGCUACGGGACUGAUCGAGGUCAAAGAAUGCGAAUUUGGUCAAUAGUGUGUGGUCAGGCAAAGAGCUAGCAUCAAGUCUCAUCAAAAUAUGUAGGGUUGGGCUAGCUUCAAAUUGUAUUGCACGCCCGCACGUGUAAUAGACUAAUUGCCAACAUAAUGCAGUAUUUUGAUUAAGAUCACUCGUUGCAACAGACAAUAAUAUCCUCUCUUUUUCUUUUUCUUUUCCCUGACUAUUUUCUCCUUUCGAGAGCGUGCCGUUUCUGAAUUGUUAGGUACGUUAUGUUUUGGUAAAUUUCAUCAAAAUUAUUUUCUUUAUAGGAGAAAUAAACAUCUCGACCACGCCGUUAAUAUAUGCCCUCACCGGCUGCUGGGGCGACUCUGCUGCCUCUUGCUCCUCUUCAACAAUUCUUGGAGCAUCUAAUUAAAUUAAUCGAUUUCGGAUCACAGUUCAACAAACAUAGCUUUGGCUAUUCUUCCUUGAAACUACUAUAUAGGGCACAUGCAACACACAUGCUUGUUUAGUCGUAGAUCAUGUCUAAGGUACGACCAUACAUAAUUCCAAAUGAGAAAACAUAUGGAAAUAAUGCCCUGAUCCGUUCUUACCUGACUUGGUAGGUAAGAGGUAACUUCAAAUUAAAAUGUAUCGAUAUCAACUGCGACCAUAUAUCAUGGUGUGAUUUGGUACAUGCAUGUUCUACUAAGUCUGUUUCUAAUCCUGUACUAACUGUCGACGAUGUCAAAUUUUUUAAGGGGAGAGUAUUUUUUUACCCGACCUAUAUAUACAUCCAACCGUAUAUAUACAGCCAUCGAAAUAGGGAACUUAGUCUCGCAAACAAUCCAAUUUGAAAUUUGCUCCUAUGAAGAUUUGAACUCAGAAUCUUGGGGUACUACCCAAGUCACUGUAACCACUAGGCUACAUGUCCUUUCGUAUCGUUGACGAUGUCAUGGGGUACAAAAUUUUCACAUUGCACCUCGUGGAAGCUUCGGAUCAGAACAAAAAUACUAAGCUGAGAAGAAUGGACGGAGUCAAGUGCAUGUCAAAGAAACUUGUCAGGCCCAAGCAUGCAUGCAUAGGCCGAAUGCACAGGCGCGCGACACAUUUUGCAUUGAUGACAUGGUUAACUAUACGACAAUUAGAAGUAAAAUUUAUCUUUACGACCAUAUAAUGUCAAUGUCUCCAGGGCACGCAAGUGACAAUUACUUAGUCCUCACCUACCGUCGACCUCACACGUAAUUCUCUAUCGCUAUAUUCUGCAACACACACAGUUUGCUCCCGGUCGACGAAACCCACGAAUUGAGGAGGAAAUCCUAUAUACAUAUGCAAGCAAGUAAUUAAGCAGAGUGUGAGAGAGUCCUUUUCUGAGAGAGAGAUUAUUAUACGUUUUUGCUAGCUUAGUAGUACUACCUUACUUAGUACGAGGUAUAGUAAUAAUCAGGCCAACAAUUAAUAUGGCGAGAGAGAUCCACAAGAUCGCGAGCCUGAGGCGGGAGAGCUCGCUGUGGAGGCGGGGCGACGACGGCGUGUAUUUCUCGCGGUCGUCGACGGGGGCGUCGUCGUCGAGGUUCAGGGAUGAGGAGGACGACGAGGAGGCGCUGCGGUGGGCGGCGCUGGAGCGGCUGCCGACGCGGGACCGGGUGCGGCGGGGCAUCCUGCUGCAGGCGGCGGAGGGGAACGGCGAGAAGGUGGAGGUGGACGUCGGCAGGAUGGGCGCCCGCGAGAGCCGCGCGCUCAUCGCCCGCCUCAUCCGCGCCGCCGACGACGACCACGCCCUCUUCCUGCUCAAGCUCAAGGACCGCAUGGACAGGUAAAUAUCACUGCUGGAUUUUUCCAAACGGCCACAGCAGAUUUUUGCAUGCGGGCCUCUCGUCCGUCUGUAAUCAGGUGUCUGUGAAAAUCAUCAUUUUUUCAUAUGGGUAUAUUGCAUGUGAAAACGGACGGUCAUCUAAACCAAAUGCAUGCGAAAAUAGUUUUGACCAAAAAACUAAAAUUCGUGGGAGAGGGCAGCCGCCGCCGGCCAUUCCCGCCAGCCGCUUGGGAGGGGAGGUGAGGGAAAGAGAGGAGGUGAGAAAUGAGAGGAGAGGAAGUGAGAAAAGAUAAUGAUGAGUUGACAAUAUUUUUCAAGAUGGUGAGAGGAAAACAGCUAGACUUAUUGGCGGGUCUUAAAGGACCAUCUACGAAAAUUAAUUUUCGUAUGCGGACGCUUAAGAGGUUUGUCUACGAAAAUAGUCUUAUUUUUGUAUGGACUUGUUAAGAGGCCGUGAUCGAUUACGAUCCUUCUGCAUUCUAUGGGGACCCUUUAUAGAAAAAUCCAUUUUUAAGUAGUGUAUAUAGUUAUAUACACGUAGAGAAUAUGCAUCAUGCAUAUAUUGUUAAUUAUUUUGCAAAAAUGAAACAAUAAAACGAUCUCUAAGCUAGAUUUGAUCGCUUGAUAACCUGGAUACUACACCGUACCUCUGGUUCACUUAGCUUACCUGUUGCUUGCAUGCACACAUUGGUUAUUGAUAUUGUAAACAUAUAUAGUAGUAUAUACUUUUUAUAUCCUUUGAGUACACACCGAAUUAACCUUGGCUGCAUGAGACAAGUGGUUCCCAUGGGUGAAACUUGACCAUACAGAACUCGUCAUGCUUUAUGCUUACAGCAAGUAUAUAUUGAUGUUAAACUCUGAGAGUACCAUGUAGGUUUCGAUAAUGAUGUGGAUAGGAUAGAGGACAAUCGAGCUGCCUCUUAUACAAGAGAAACUGAAAACACGAGCUCAUUAAAACUAGAAAGAGACAGGAUGUCAGCAAGAGGAAACUAGUUAGUAAAAUAAAAUUAGUGUACAGCAUUAGGUUAGUGUAAUAUAUCUGGUAAUAUAUUGUUAAGACACAUAUCAUAUCAUAUAGUCGAUCGAAGUUAUAAAAUUUUGAUUUUAAUGAUAUUAAAAUGUCUGGAAUUAUGAAACCGGAGAGAGUAAUUGGUUAUUACUCCUGAAGAGAUAUGGACAAAAUUAGAAGUAGUACGUAGAUAUAUACUCCCUCCGUUUCAAAAUGUUUGACACCGUUGACUUUUUAGCACAUGUUUGACCGUUCGUCUUAUUCAAAAUAAUUUGUGAAAUAUGUAAAACUAUAUGUGUACAUGAAAGUAUAUUUAACAAUGAAUCAAAUGAUAUGAAAAUAAUAAAUAAUUACUUAAAUUUUUUGAAUAAGACGAAUGGUCAAACACAUAAUAAAAAGUCAACGGUGUCAAACAUUUUGAAACGGAGGGAGUAUAUUAACUUGCUCUUAGUCAUGCAACUAAAAUAGAGAUUAGCUUACAUAGACUGCGGUUCAUUUAAUUGUACUUAAACAAAACUCAUUUAAAAUAUGACAACACUUGAACUCGAUUCGAUCUCCUAAUUUGCCCAUGUCAUGUGUCCUGAAGAGUCAAUUAUCUAAAAAAUAUAUUACACAACAGUACUAAAAUAUACACAUUGAUGUUCUCUCUUCUUACUCUCCCUUCUCACCUCAAACCUCUGCAGAUUGGCCCAACUGGCAAUGUUAUGGAUCACCUACUAAUUAUUAUUGUACCUGUACUUGCAGAGUGGGGAUAGAUUAUCCAACUAUUGAGGUACGGUUUGAAAAACUAGAGGUGGAGGCAGAGGUGCACGUUGGCAACAGGGGCCUGCCCACGCUCCUCAACUCCAUCAUCAACACAGUGCAGGUAAUACAAUAUACAGUCAGCCAGUAGUGCUCUAAUUUUUUAAGACGGCAAUGCUCCUACCAGACCUUAGGUUUUUUAGGAGCUUCUUCUAGCUCUACAGCUACUCUAAACAGUUUAUAAUUUCACUCAGCUUCCGAGAAGCUAUAGUUAAUUAGUUAUAUAAUCUAGAAAAAUAAACUAAGUCAGAACUUAAAUAACUUUUUUUUAAUUCUCAUCAACUAGCUUUUUAUCAGUUGCUUCUCAGGACCUUCAAUCUUAAAGCUCUCAUAAACAGGAUCCUAGAGGAUCUAGGAAGAUAUGAUAACCCUUUUACAUUGUGUGAUUACAAAAUGGUCUACGAACAAGGAAAAUUACAAGUACUUUGAAGAAACAAGAAAAGCAACCGGAUCCUUGUGAUGCCAUCGCAAACAAAAUCAAGAUAGUUGAUGCCAUCAAACCACUAUGCAUAGAUACAUUGGGUGACCUUACCGGGCUGCAUUAACCUUGCACACCACAAUUCUUGCCCUCGUGGGGGUCUCCGAUCAAUGAAGGUUUGGUUGUCUCUUUGCGAAAACGACCAUCUUAACCUUUUAGUUGAAGUCGUCAUAGGUGAGAAAAAUGAUUGGCAUUGACCUUGUAAAGCAUGCAUCAGAGUUUUGUCAAUUGGUGCAACCGCGCCUAUAGCCAAUACCUUCAACAAGGAAGCGAAACGCUACCAGGUACAACCAACUAAAGCUAGUUCUAGAGAUUUAACCUUAAAGUCAAGGAACUGAUACAUGGGCAUCACCUAAUCGGUUCCACAGUUAUAUUGUUCCUCCAUUCCUAGCCGGUUCCUCCAUAUCUCCCACUCUUAGCCCUAUUUCAAUUGGCUAUAAACUACACAACUGCAACCUUUUUAGAUGUGUUACCCUGCUGUUGUAGUGUUGCGAGCAAGUCAAUAGAUACACGCCCAACAUCCAUGAGGUCCAUCUAAAGAGCAGAUGAGUUGUCGAUGUAAAUGAUACCAUUGAAGCCAAAAUGUGGCAUUACUCUACAUGAUACCAAAGUAAUUGUGAGUGACAAUUUAACCAUACUUAGGUCAUUUACCAAAUUAUGAAACAGAUUUUUUAUUCACGCUUCAAAAAAUACAUUUUCUCGUAGAACUUUUUUUAUUGUUUACACCACUUGUUUUAAAGUAUUUUUAAGUUUAUUUAUUAAAAUAUUUAAUUUAUCCGUAUAAUCAAAUGGAUAAUCUGCACCAACAAUCAGUUCCCAUUUAUAUUUAUGAAAACAUAAGCUAAUUUUAUUUUCAAAAUCUAGCUUCACGUAAAAUUACGUGGGAAUAUUCGCUAGCUAGUUGUGGUUAGUAGGAGUACGUAGGAAGCCCACAUUUGCACAUCACGCAUCAGAACAAACCAGGCCCACGGUGAAACUCACCAAUUCUCACCACUCCGUCCUCUCCUCCUCCUCUCCCGAGCUCUGAGCCUGCCAUCUCUCUCUCACCGCCUCACGCCGUCCUCCGACGUUCGCCGGCGACGUUGAUGGCGCCACGACCUCUCCCGAGUCCUGACGACGCGCCACCUCAGCCUUCUCUCUUCCUAGCCAUGGAGAGCGGUCAACUCCCAGCACCACGCCUCUGCGCUUUUGAGCGGCAUUUCGCCGAACAUGUGGCGUGCAUGGUCGGAUUCUCAAAGCAAUUGUAAUCUUCUUGCUCCGUCGAUGCGAUAAUGCGAUACUUCUUCAUUUCGAGGCGUAAUAAUAUGUAAUUUUCCAUGUUAAGUUGCUUCGAAAUCGUUCUCUUGGUGCAGGCGAUCGGGAACGCGCUCCACAUCUCCCCCACCAGGAAGCAGCCGAUGACCGUCCUCCAUGACGUCAGCGGAAUAAUCAAGCCCCGAAGGUAAAACCACGAGCUAGACACUGAUAUAGCACAAAUUUGCGUAAACACUAACACAUUUUCUUUGUCGAGAUGUCAUGCUGCUAAUUAUCAACCCAUGUCUUGAUUUAAUUUCAGGAUGACAUUACUUCUAGGACCUCCUGGGUCAGGCAAGACAACGUUGCUCCUGGCAUUGGCUGGGAAGCUUGAAGACAAUCUCAAGGUCCAGAAUUGAACCUAGCUAUGUGCAUUUUCACUCCAUUAUAUAUUAUUAUGUUCAAAUCUUGUAGCAUGGCCGUGUCGCUUUGCGGUUCUUCCGUAUGAGGGGGCAAAAAAAAAAAAGAAAAUCAUUUUGUGUUUAACUUGCUGAAUGCGCAGGUUUCUGGGAAGGUUACCUACAAUGGCCAUGGGAUGGAUGAGUUUGUGCCUCAAAGGACAGCUGCUUACAUCAGCCAGCAUGAUCUCCACAUUGGAGAGAUGACAGUGAGGGAGACCUUGGCCUUCUCGGCACGGUGCCAAGGUGUUGGAUCUCGAUAUGGUAUGUGUACCUAAAAUAUUGACUUGUUCUUGGCCAUAUUAUGGUGGGAUACUGAGCUAGGUUGUUUUCCAGACAUGCUUACAGAGUUGUCAAGGAGGGAAAAAGCAGAGAACAUCAAGCCAGAUCAAGAUAUUGAUGUCUAUAUGAAGGUGAGCUGGUGUCAUGUGUUGCUUAGAUUUAUUUGAUUUUUUUUGUCGCAAUGAACAGAAGAACUUUCAAGCGUACUUCUCAAAUGUAAUAUAUUUGCAUAAUAGAAUAACAGUUGUUUUUUCCUGCUCCUUUAGGCCUCAGCUAUUGGAGGACAAGAGUCCAGCGUUGUCACUGAAUACAUAUUGAAGGUACAGGCUGCCAACACAUAGAACUAAUUGUAGAACUACGUAAAUGAAUUUUUACUGAAUGUUUGUUUGUCUGUUACAUAUCUGCAGAUUUUAGGAUUAGACAUUUGUGCAGACACAGUGGUAGGGAAUGAUAUGUUAAGGGGUGUAUCUGGUGGACAACGGAAGCGUGUGACUACAGGUAUGAUUCAUAGUUUUAGGCAAAUAUGGAGGCUAAGUGGAGAAUGGUUCAUUUUUCAAUCUUUAUCACAUAGAUAUGAGUUUACAAAAUUUCCUGGGCGCAUUAGCAUAAUUGUAGUUGUCUUGUUAGGAAAUCUUUUUAAACUUUCUCUUUGUAGGUGAGAUGCUUGUUGGUCCAGCAAGAGCUCUGUUCAUGGAUGAGAUAUCGACCGGACUGGAUAGUUCAACCACAUACCAGAUUGUGAAUUCCAUUGGGCAGACCAUCCGUAUCCUUGGUGGAACUGCUGUCAUCUCCUUGCUACAGCCGGCACCUGAAACAUACAACUUAUUUGAUGACAUUAUACUCCUCUCAGACGGGCAGAUUGUGUACCAGGGUGCCCGCGAACAUGUGCUCGAGUUCUUCGAGUUGAUGGGCUUCAGAUGCCCCCAAAGAAAAGGAGUUGCUGACUUCUUGCAGGAAGUAUGUGUAAUUAUCUACAAGUUACCAUGCCAAUUAGUGAUUCUGAUUUGCAAAGAUGAAAGUUACUGUUAUCUGAAAUUCUGUAUACAUUGAACAGGUGACAUCAAAGAAAGACCAGGAACAGUAUUGGUAUAGGAAUGACAUACCAUACUCUUUCGUGCCUGUGAAGCAAUUCGCAGAUGCAUUCCGUUCCUUCCACGUGGGACAGUCUAUUCAGAAUGAACUUUCGGAGCCAUUUGAUAGGAGCAGGAGCCACCCUGCUUCUCUUGCUACCUCCAAGUUUGGAGUUAGCUGGAUGGCGUUGCUCAAAGCCAAUAUUGAUAGAGAGCUUCUACUCAUGAAGAGGAACUCGUUUGUGUACAUCUUUAAAGCUGCCAAUGUAAGUUCAGACCUAUGGCUUGGUCUUCUUUUUAAUAUUGAGAUGAAGAUUACCUGACACCAAUCUGAAUUUUACAUCAUCACAGUUAACUCUUACCGCGUUCCUCGUAAUGACCACGUUUCUUCGUACCAAAAUGCGCCAUGAUACAACUUAUGGAACGAUCUAUAUGGGGGCUCUGUACUUUGCCCUUGACACAAUCAUGUUCAAUGGGUUCGCGGAGCUUGGCAUGACUGUCAUGAAGCUUCCUGUCUUCUUCAAGCAGAGGGAUCUUCUAUUCUUCCCUGCAUGGACCUACACCAUACCAUCAUGGAUUCUUCAGAUCCCCGUCACAUUUUUUGAGGUUGGAGUUUAUGUUUUCACAACAUACUAUGUUGUUGGCUUUGAUCCCAAUGUGAGCAGGUAAGACAGUGCAGCACAUACUUUCAUGUCCUAAGAAUGCAUAAAAGAGAUAACUCUUUUAUCUGUACUGUAUGCUGGUAGAAAGAAAUUAAGCAGAAUGUUCACAUAGUACUGAUUUUGUUCUGUGAAAUCUGAAUAAUUUAUAUCUUUCUCAGGUUCUUUAAGCAGUAUCUGCUACUUGUUGCACUUAAUCAGAUGUCAUCUUCACUGUUUCGAUUUAUUGCUGGCAUCGGUAGAGACAUGGUUGUGUCUCAAACCUUCGGACCCUUAUCAUUGUUGGCUUUCACAGCACUGGGUGGCUUUAUUCUUGCAAGACGUAAGUUACUCAAUAUGCAAUUAUAAAAUUAAAAUGAUAUUUAUUCUUAAAUCGUAUUGACGGUGCUAACCCUUAACUGUUCCUGACUAAUUUCCAUCUCAAUCUUUCUUUGCCUUUCCAGCUGAUGUGAAGAAAUGGUGGAUUUGGGGUUACUGGAUUUCUCCCUUAUCGUAUGCACAGAAUGCUAUUUCAACAAACGAAUUUCUAGGGCGCAGUUGGAACAAAGUAAGUAAAGAUCGCAUUAGUCACUUAGAAAAAUGUGAAAGAAAAAUCAACUUAUUGUAUUCCCAUGUUGUAGAGUUUUCCUGGACAAAAUGACACUGUCGGAAUAAGCAUUCUGAAAUCUCGAGGCAUAUUUACUGAAGCUAAGUGGUAUUGGAUUGGGUUUGGUGCUUUGAUUGGAUAUACACUCUUGUUCAACCUCCUUUACACUGUGGCACUUUCAUUUUUGAAACGUAAGUGGAUUGAUGAGACUGUUUUUAUAUGGAUAUAAUUCCAAGAAUUUAGCAAAACAGCAUUUUGUGGGUUAACAGUUGAUGCUCACUGUGACUGCUUUGCUAACUUUUCGCAGCACUUGGUGACUCUUACCCAUCAGUGCCUGAAGAUGCACUGAAGGAAAAGCGUGCCAACCAAACUGGUGAAAUUCUAGAUAGCUGUGAGGAAAAGAAAUCUAGAAAGAAGGAACAGUCCCAAAGUGUCAACCAAAAGCAUUGGAAUAACACUGCAGAAUCUAGUCAGAUCAGGCAGGGAAUACUCCCCUUUGCACAACUGUCACUUAGUUUUAAUGACAUAAAAUACUCAGUGGACAUGCCUGAGGUAAAAAUUUUCAGUGAACUAUGCAUUGCAACAUUUUUACAGCUACAUACUUGCAUACCCAAGAUGCCUUACCCAAUAGUACUGUUCAACACUUACAGGCAAUGACAGCACAAGGAGUAACAGAAGAGCGCUUGUUACUUUUAAAGGGUGUUAGUGGUUCGUUUAGGCCAGGAGUACUUACCGCACUGAUGGGUGUGAGUGGUGCUGGAAAGACUACUCUGAUGGAUGUAUUAGCAGGGAGGAAAACUGGAGGAUACAUAGAGGGAGACAUCACCAUCUCAGGCUAUCCAAAGAAACAAGAGACCUUUGCGCGUAUAUCAGGAUACUGUGAACAAAAUGAUAUUCAUUCUCCACAUGUAACAGUUUAUGAGUCACUCGUAUUUUCUGCUUGGAUGCGGCUUCCUUCAGAGGUUGAUUCAGAAACAAGAAAGGUUAGCUGGGUUGUAGGUAUUGAUUAAUUUAAAUAGGCAAAUGAGCAGGCUUUGAAAUUCGUGGUUUUUGACUGAUUUUUUUACUGAAUUAUGAUAACAGAUGUUCAUAGAGGAGGUCAUGGAGCUUGUAGAGCUCACAUCACUGAGGGGUGCACUCGUUGGGCUUCCUGGAGUGAAUGGCUUGUCAACUGAGCAACGGAAGAGGCUAACUGUUGCUGUGGAGCUUGUUGCUAACCCUUCGAUCAUUUUUAUGGAUGAGCCUACAUCUGGUCUUGAUGCUCGGGCCGCUGCAAUUGUGAUGAGGACCGUAAGGAAGACCGUUGACACUGGUAGGACUGUUGUUUGCACAAUUCACCAGCCAAGUAUUGACAUAUUUGAAGCAUUUGAUGAGGUGGACAAUUCUUUAUUGUCAAUAUGGAUAAAGGUCCUUAGAUUUAUUAAGAUAAGUUCACAUAUUGACAAUGUUAUCAUUUAUGUAUGACUUACAGCUUUUCCUAAUGAAAAGAGGAGGAGAAGAGAUAUAUGUUGGUCCAUUGGGCCAGAAUUCCUCAAAACUGAUUGAGUACUUUGAGGUAAGAAGAUUAGUAAAAUAAAGUAUUAUUCAUUGCAGGUUGUAGAACUUAGUGCCAGCAAAACUAUAUAAAGGUGGAUACUUUUUAUUUGAUCUGUUCAGGGAAUUGAAGGCAUUAGUAAGAUAAAAGAUGGCUACAAUCCAGCAACAUGGAUGUUGGAAGUAACCUCUACUACACAAGAGGAGAUGCUUGGGAUUGAUUUCAGUGAAAUCUACAAACGAUCAGAACUAUAUCAGUUUGUCUCCUUUCAUGCUGUUUUAGUGAACUGUAGUAUAUAGUGCAACAUGUAAUUCCUGAUUGGGUGACAACAUAAUAAAUUUGCCCCUUUUCACAAUUUCAGAAGGAACAAGGAACUUAUACAAGACCUAAGCACACCUACUCCUGGUUCUACUGAUCUCCAUUUCCCUACACAGUACUCUAGGUCGUUCUUCACACAAUGCAUAGCUUGCUUGUGGAAGCACAAGUUAUCAUAUUGGAGGAAUCCAUCCUACACAGCAGUGAGGUUACUCUUCACCAUCAUCAUUGCACUACUGUUUGGAACAAUGUUUUGGGACCUCGGAAGGAAAACGUACAUCUUCUAAGUUUAUUCUCCUAUCUUUCUGAUUGAUAGAACCUACUUUGCAUGUGAUAUAUUAUGAUACCUUACUCAUACCAUGGCAGAAAAAAAGAACAGGAUCUAUUCAAUGCUGUGGGAUCAAUGUAUGCUGCAGUUCUUUACAUUGGGAUACAAAAUUCUGGUUGUGUUCAACCUGUAGUGGUGGUGGAGAGAACAGUCUUUUACCGAGAAAGAGCUGCCGGCAUGUAUUCAGGUUUCCCGUAUGCAUUUGGACAGGUGAUUUCUAAUUGGAAUAAAUCUAUUUUAUUAUCCCUCAACUCUUUAUGGAGUCCAAAUUUCACUUUGAACUAUGAAAUCAUCCAAGUUGUAUACCUGAACUUUCAAAAUAUGAUAUGUUGCCUAGACACGCUACCAUAAUACACCAUUUCCCUAAAACAUCGAUAUGGCAAUACAUCUUAGUAUCUUAUGAAAAACAACAAUUAGAAAUACAGCAAUUAAUCAAGAAUGAAGGAAGAAAGCAACCAAAGGUUGACUCAAAGUUUCAAAUCUUCUAGAGGAUCUCAUCAUAGAGUUCCACAGGACAGACUAGAAGCAUCGGAACAUAAGUGCUCCGUAACAGCAAUGUUGUUCCAACUUCCAAUGGAUGACCAACAAGACCACCAAUUGCUUGGAUGUCAGCAAAUUGAAGAGAAACAAGAGGGAGAUAGAACAGAUUUUCCUGUAUUAUGUUCUUGCAGUAACAGUUAAGAAUUACCUGACCUUGUAGAUGGAAUAAGGCUGAAACCACCAUUGUAUUAGAUAUUGGGUUAUUCUUCUUUUUUUUUAGGGUGGAUAUUGGGUUAUUCUGAUUCAAUUUUGAAGGUUAAGUGAAAGUUUAUUUUUACUCCGUAGAGUAGAGGCAUAAAAUUGAUUCUUUCCUUUAUAAUUCAUCUUAGUAAUGGAUGAAGAAAUACAAUGCCUUUGAAAUCAAACUGAAGCUUGUAGUUCAAUGAAAAGAACUAUUCACUACUGUUCAUAAAACUUAAAAGUCAUAAGUUCUUUUGGGCUCCAACCCUAACUUCACUUCCUUGUCUCUUUUGUAGGUUGCGAUCGAAUUGCCAUACAUCCUAGUUCAGACACUGGUAUAUGGUGUACUAGUCUACUCAAUGAUUGGGUUUGAAUGGACUGUUGCUAAGUUCAUUUGGUACCUGUUCUUCAUGUACUUCACAUUGCUGUAUUUCACGUUCUUCGGAAUGAUGGCAGUAGGAUUGACACCAAACGAGAGCAUUGCAGCUAUCAUUUCACCAGCAAUCUACAAUGCAUGGAACCUCUUCUCAGGAUAUCUUAUACCUCGACCUGUAGGUUACUUUCCUGCCGCGUAUGGUUUUGUUUUCAUUUAGAUUUCAUUACCAUAUUGUUCUAAUGUGACUCAUGCAUUUAACUCUCGCAAAUUCAGAAAAUUCCUGUCUGGUGGAGGUGGUACUGUUGGAUUUGCCCUGUUGCAUGGACAUUGUAUGGAUUGGUUGCCUCCCAGUUUGGAAAUAUCCAAACUAAACUUGAUGGCAAAGACCAAACCGUGGCUCAGUUCAUUACGGAAUACUAUGGUUUCCAUCAUGACUUACUAUGGCUUGUUGCCGUUGUGCAUGUUGUUUUCACUGUGAUGUUCGCUUUCCUGUUCAGUUUUGCAAUCAUGAAGUUCAACUUCCAGAGGAGAUGAAGAAGAUGCCAUUCUUAGAUGUAGUCGUAGAAGAUGGUGUAGUCUCAUAUAUAGAGUUUAUUUUCAUUCGGUACAUAGAAAAUGUAACAAGUUCCUUGUAAGUUGUAACCAGCUCAUACUAGGCAGAGCAGAGGCAAUAACUUCAUCUCAAGAAAUGCUGCUGUAUUUGACAAUUAAAUAAAUGCAGAUUUUUUUGUUCAUUCAAUCUACACAGAUCUCCACUGGAGAGCCUUUUUGGUUAAAUUGUGUGAUCUGUUAAAUAGCAUUCUAUGCAACUCCUCUCUUUUCGCUUGGUUCUUUUUGCUGAAACACAUCUUUGAUGAAUUGUGACAGCAUUGUGUCUUCCUGAAUUUACUUUGAUUUUGAGUUUGAUCAAUUUAGAUUUCCGAGUAAGCAUGAGAGGUUUCAGUUUGUUUUCAGGUUUCCAUGAUGGUGCCCUUUCAUUGAUGUGAAUGCUAAUCUCAAAUCCCGUUCUACGUUUUGUGUCCGCUCCAGCAACCAAUGGCUAAAGUCAUCUAUACUAAUAUAAAAAGUACCAGUUGUUUCUUUCCUACAUCCACCCAGAAAAGUGUACCCAGAAGUUUCUAACCGUUGGAUCCUCUAAUCUAACAAUGUAAAUUACAAGUCGGAUUAACACUGCAAUUAGCGCCAGAUUAGCACCGAUUAGCGCUUCGCAAUCCUUCUCUUCGCAUUUUUUUACUGCAAAUUGAUCAAAAAAGAAUCUUAAAUAAGGACUGGAAACAAGCUGAAGCUAAAAUAGAAAAGAGAGUUGGGUGUUGGCAAGGGAAACUUCAGUCUAUUGGUGGAAGAGUUACUCUAAUUAACUCUAGCUUGAGCAGUACCCCUCUGUAUAUGUUUUCUUUCUAUAGAAUUCCAAAAGGGGCGCUAGAAAAGAUUGAUUACUUUAGAAGAAGAUACCUUUGGCAGGAAGAUCAGGGGAUUAGAAAAUAUCACCUGGUGCAAUGGCCAAUAGUGUGUUCACCUAGAGACAUGGGGGGCUUGGGUAUUUCGGAUUUGGAAACUAUGAACAAGACACUUCUGGGGAAAUGGCUGUGGAGGUUGGAGAAUACUGAUGCUUUAUGGCAAAAAUUGUUAAGAGAAAAAUAUCUAAAAAAGAAACCACUUACAGCACAAAAAAUCAAGCAGGGAGAUUCCCAUUUUUGGCAUGGAUUGAUGGAGAUAAAAGAAAACUUCAUUUCUGUGAAAUAUCCUUAGGGAAUGGCUGUAAUACUUUGGUUUGGGAGGAUAAAUGGACAGGGAAGCAAUCUCUGGCUGAAAGAUAUCCUAAUCUAUACAGAAUUACCAAUGCAAAUGGAGUGACCUUAACUUCUGUUAAAAACAAAGGGUGGGAGUCUAUUACUUUCAGAAGAAAUUUGACAGGAGAUAGACUUGCAGACUGGAUCAAUAUAAAAAACUUAUGUGAGACGGUAAUAUUACCAGGAGGGAGAGACACCUUAAAAUGGAUUUUGACAAAAAAAUGGAGAGUUUAGUGUUAAAUCUUUUUAUAAAGCUCUGAAAACACAUGACACAAUCCCCAGGCCAAUAGGGAUACACAAAAAAAUCUGGAAAAUCAAAAUUCCUUUUAAGAUAAGGAUUUUUAUGUGGCUGAUGAUGCAAAAUAGGAUUUUAACCAAAGAUAACUUGAGAAAGAGAGGAUGGAAAAAAGGAACAGAAACAUGUCAAUUCUGUGAGAAAAAAAGAGACUUUGCAGAAUUUGUAUUUUUGAUUGCCCUAUGGCUAGAUUUACCUGGAAUAUGGUUUGUUGUGCUUUUGAUCUUAAACCAAUCAGAAAUUUACAUCAAACCUUGGAGAAUUGAACAAAAAACUGUGAUAGAAUGACAUCACAGCUACUGCUGAUUGGAGUUGAUAGAAUAACAAACUGCCAUCUGAUCCUUCUGAAAUUUUGUUUGCUGCUUGUAAUUGGAUCUCCGAUUGGGGUAUUUUACAGAUUUCGGAGGAAAGGCAAAGAAAGUUGCUUUGGGGAGCCAAGCUCCUAAAGCAGGUAACAAGUGAAGUCUUUAAAUCAAGAUAUGGAUGGAGAUCGAGCGUGUGCAGGCUGGACAACACAUGAAGCUGGAUGGACAAAAAAGAGCAGAAGAUAGAGUUUUUUUUGUGGACCGGAAUCCUCAGCUAAAGUCUGGUUCAGUUCUGGGAGUUAUUGCAAGUAGAAGAUCUUUUGUUUUGUCAGGUCAAAAUGAUUGUAGUGAGCAAAGAGCUCUGGCACCUGUGUUUCUGUUUUUUUCACUUCUGAAGACAUGAACCCUUAAAUGGGAUGACUCCUUUGUAUUAGCUACAUCAUUUCUUUAAUGGAAAUGGAGGGCUCAGUCCCUUUGCUAAAAAAAAAGAUAAACUGCUAAUAAUGAUCAUUGCAAUGGACUUUCGAUGACAUUAAAAAUGCCAUUGAAGAGGCAAAUGAUUAUGAGGUAGAUACAAAAGGGACUUGCAGCACCAAUUGGCGCUCCUCCUAAUGCUUCACAUAGCCUUUGUGCAUGAUCUACAACAGAAACUUUAACUAACCUAUAUGCCUAUAAGUCGACCUUUGUGCACAUUCUACAACAGAAACUUUGACAAUUGCCUAUACGCCUACAUUUCAACGUGCCUUGCACGUGCACACUCACUAGUCACAAGAAAUAUGGUUUGCCAGUAGUUUUAGUUCGUUUUGUUUUGUUUUGUAUUCACACAGCACACUCUUCACAAAAGUAAUUCUAUCUCAAAAUCAUUUGGAGCUCUUAGGCAAUUUAACAUCUAGAUUUGACCAACAAAAUUUGCAAAGUGUGUUUGCUUGGUUAUCCCACAGUUAAACACGCAAUUUGCUAAUCCCGGCAAAUUGAGUUCAACACCAACUGAAACAGGCAGGCGGCAGCAGGGAUCAAACUAAAAUACGGUGUGCAGAAGCAGAGUAUUCAACUUAUUCCCCACACAUUUUUAUCAACUAUCAACUAAACUGUUGCAAAAAACAAGAAGUCCAAAUGCCCGCCAACCGCUAGCAAGGCAAGUAAAAACAACGGGGUAGAGCUAACUGACGCUGGCAUGACGCGGCGAAGCAUUUCGUCGAACACCUCGCGCGCACGCGUGCUCACGCUCCGCCCUCGGCGCCGCACACCUCCUUGAGCCGCCCCGCCGCAGCAUCCGCGUCGAUCGAGUACUGCAAGGCAGCAAAGAGCGGUGAACCAGCACGCCGAUGCGGUGGAAGGCGAGCGAGCGCGCGCGCUCCGCUCAAGCGGCGGGCGUGUUUGUAGGUUAGGUACCGUACUACCACCCACCUUGGAGAGGACCCAGGAGGAGUGGGCGUAGGCGCGGCGGAGGAGGGCGGCGAGGUCGUCGUCAGCGGAGAGGUCGCGGUAGUUGACGAAGUUCUCGCGGGCGUACUUGGCGUAGUACGGCCGCGCGUCCGCCGGCAGCCGCCGCACCAGCCGCAGCACCUCCCGGUACGCGCGCAGCCCCGCGUUCGCCAUAGUUUCGCUUCCCCUGAGGCCUGUGCUGGGCUCGACUAUUUAUUACCACUGAAGACUGAAGUGAUGAACAUUUAAUUAUUAGUACUAUUUUACUACUACUAGUAUUAGGGUUAAUUGGAUCCUAUCAUUGCAAAUUUGCUAUUUAGAAAAAUACUAUUACUAUUUGCAAAUCACGAUAUCAGCUGGGUGUCACUAAAAUUUUACAAAAUUGGAUCCAUACCAUCGUCGUCAUAUUUUCCGUCAUGCUCUCCUUAUUCUCUCUUCUUUUAUUCUCCUCUCCUUCUUCCUCGUCGGCCAGGCGCUCUUCUCCUCUCCAGGCAUGGAUGUGUGGGGGCGGUGAGAGGGAAAGGCAGCAACAACGGGUGGCAAGCCACAGCCGUCCGCAGGCAGCGCGUGGGCAAGGUGACUCCGAUGGUAGCAGGCGGGCAUGGAUGUGUGAGGGCGGCAAGAGGGAAAGACAGCGAUGGCGGGCGGCGAGCCAUGGAUGUCCUCAUGCAGCGAGAGGGCAAGACGAUGCCGGCGAUGACGGGCCAUGGCUAUCCGUGGGCUGCGGCGACAGGGUGAGGCGGCCAUGGCAUUUCCUUCCCUCGUCAUCAAUGAGCUCUUCCACUAGAUGUCGUUCCUACUCAUCAGCGAUGCCCAUGAAAUCAACGAGGAGCAGCUUAGGCUCGCCGGCGGAAUGGGAGAGUGUACUUGGGGAGAUUGGGCUUGCCGAUGACUUCAUGCCCACGAGGCUACCGAUUCGCUUCCCAACUAGAUCUAAUGGGGGGAGACCGCUGUGGUUGUAGCCUUCUCCCCGCGCGCCGCCGCUGAGGGCAGUCGUUCCCAUUGGAGAGAGGCGGCGGGAGGAUCGUCAUGCCCUCCGGAAGAGAGGAGGAUGGAGGAAGAAGAUGAAACUGAUGUGUGGGUCCCACGUUCAGGGUUAUUUUGGUCCAUGUGAAAAAUGGAAACUGUGACGGCGAUGACAUUGAUCCAAUUUUACAAAAUUCCAGUGGCACUCAACUGAUAUCACGAAUAGGGGUGGCAUUUUUCUAAUAUGGUAAAUUUGUUAUGGCAUGGAUCCAACCGUACAUGUAAACGCAUGAUGUGAUAAUUGUCGUUAUUAGCCUUGCUAAGUCAGUUUGCAUUGAUAAAUUUAGGGCCCGUUCUUCUGGUCAAGAACAAAUUCUACCUUAAUUUCAAUUAACAUGUUUCUAAAACUAGAAAGAAAGCCCGCGUAGAUGCGCAGGCAUCUUAUUGAAUGUUUUAUAAAAAUAAUGAUAAAAGAAGUUACAUCUCACUAUUUCUACUUAAAUGUUAUAAAAUAAUAAGAAUAUAUCUCAGAUUAAAAAUACACUUUGAUCGAGUGACAUAUAAAUUCUCAUAUUGUCACCACUAAAUUAUGCUUUAAAACCAAUUAACCCUGUUGGAGGUACACCACAAAGGGCCUUCGGCCAGAUCUACCGAAACCAAGAACUUAGGCGACAGGCUCAAACCGGAGGCAAGCAGCGAAGGUCGAGAAUGGAACCAUAUGGGCGAAAGCCACAUGGCGAAAACCGUGGCUCGGAACACGCGGGCUUCGCCAGGCAAAGACCUCGUUAGAAGGCCGCAUGGGCGAAGACGGUGAGGUGAAAGCCUUGGCACGAAGGCACAGGCUUCGCCAAGUACCGAACCCCACCGUAAGGAGGCCCAGUGGGCCAUUGCGCUUUCGGGGGAUUUUGCCAAAUAAAUUGGCCGAGCUAUUUAGCCUAAUAGGGGCCCAUACAUGUAAAGGACACUGUGUGCCCCCAAUAAUGUCCCUAUCAUAAGGGUAACCAUGUAAAUUCCCCUGUAAAACCUAAACCCUAAAGGAGGAACCUGUAAUAGGGCUAUAAAUAGCCCCCUAAGGCCACGUAAUAGGGAGAUUAAAAAAUUUUCACUAUGUAAUACAAUUGUGUUUACUUCCAACUACUAUUGAGAGAACCACGCAUUUCGACGUGAUGCAGUUGUCGGUUCGACAACAAACCCUAAAACCUAAUACAUUAUUAAUACACUAAAUUAUCCACUACUUACGUUUUAUGUCUCAUUUUUUUUUCUAAAUCCAUUUAAAAAUAUUGUAAAAAUACGACCACUUCUAUCCAUUAAUGGAAUAUCACCAUUAAAGUUAAACAUGAAUACUACUCUCAUGUGAUGACGCUCUCUCUCGUGGCCCGAUCUUCUGGUGAGGGGAUAACUCUCGCUUUGAUCGAGUGCGACGUUUGCGACGUGGCUACCAACCAGAACAAGUCCAGGACGCCGUGCAAUCGUUACACCACAAACGAUGUCGUACCAACCGUGAUACGCGGUUGAUGAUCCCUGCAAUGCAAACGAGAGAACACUACAAGAACAAGAUAAGAUGCAAUCUAAAUAUUGCGAAUAGGUGAUUAAGCACAAAGGAAUAGUUGCGAUUGAAGUAGUAGAUCUAAUUGACCCGGCAAAUCAACACACCAACUAUUGGGGGCUCUGAAUCAAUAGUCGCCGACUAAUCGAGCGAGGACUAGAGACAAAGUGAAUGGCACUUGGCAAAAUUCAACUAAACAAAACCCAAUUGUUUUUUUAGGAUGUACAAAGCUAUUUAUAGAGGAAAACAAAGCUAGGGUUAAGUGCUAAUUCGUGGAGGUGGAGGGAGACACUUCCGAGAUGGGCCUAGUCUAUUACAAAGCCUAAGGCUCAAGUUUGGUUUCAGCAACAGCACUGUCUUGUUUUGGCGAUUCCCGUUGACUCGAGAUGAAUUUGGACAUGAGACCAGAUGCGUUUGAAAGGUAGAGAGAUAAUCUUUCCAUGAAGUCCAAGAUUACCCAAAUCGGAGUUGGCAUGAAGGCGCUAGGUCCGUUUGAAGUCAGUGCUAUCUCUGGAGGCCGAACUAGAUUCCAAAACUCGUUGGAUUUUAAUAUCUUGUAGAUCCUCCAUUCACUCGAUGUAUUCUUUAGCCAUGUUUUAUAUUUCUCGUGCUUGGAUGUAUGCAUAUACUUGAUGGUCACAUCAUCAUGGGUAAAGUCGAUCAUAGCCACCAAGACUUCCUUUCUCCAUUGCCUUGAAACAUGGGUCCCGCAUCGAUAUAGCCAUGCUCCUGAAGACCAGCUUGGAGCAUAAUUUUAAUGUACUCUCCCUCCUUCCAAAAGUCUAAGUUAUAUUUCUUUUUCACUAAGAUCAAGGUGUAGUCAACUCAUUCAUCAUGUGACAAAACCAAUGAACAUGCAAGCAAUAAGUAUUAAAAUGACUUUUUGGUUCCGAUAAAAAAUUUAAUAUAGCACAUAGUGACUACAAAUAGGAUUUAGACUUUUGGAAAACCAAAGAAUGAAAUAGGACUCAUGGAGUUUUGCAUUGGUAAGUAGAAAGUUGAGUACUAUUAGCAAUGGUGGUCUCCACUGGGACUGUCUUAACUUAGCCGUAUAUUCCAUACUAAACUUGCGACACCAUAAUAAACUUUGUUGUCCAUGUUUGGUGUCCUUUAGGGAAGAACAAAGAGAAGAUGGAGGUGACCAAAGUAGUUUUUAAAAAUGUUUUGAGUAGAUUUGUGGUGCAGUGUAGACACGAUUUGUUUAUGUUGUUGAUCAUUACAACUCAUUUUUUUUAUUAUAUAGAUAGAAUACUCUCUUUUGAAUAUGACUGAGGUCAAUCGUUCGAUGGUAUUUUUAAAAAAUUAUAUCUAAUGAGACAUAACACCACGAUAAUAACCAGAGCAUCAUGUUAUUAUUUAUAUUUUGACAAAUAUAUAUAGUCAAAUAGUUCUAAAAGUAUAAAGCUACUUUGAGAAUCUUAAUCUCAAAUAAAUUAUAAUUUAAUCAGACCUACUUGAAAAACACAACUAAAUUGUGUUGUUUUUAUUUUUUACAUAUGCAGAUUUAAAUUAAUGUUGUAUAUUUGUGAAGUGAUAUUUCCCUCCCUAAAAUAUGAUGUAUUUUUUUGAAAAAUUAUCAUACAUAUGUCAGCCUCAUGUGCCAUGGUGUAUUUAGGACUAUAAUAUAACUUUUAUAAUUUAAUUAAAGAAAUACAACAUGAUCACAAAUUGGAUAUAUAAUUUCAAAAUAAUUUAGAAGAUUGUUUAAAGAACAUUUAUUGGGUAUUCUAUGUUUUUCUUAUAUAUCUUAGUUUAACUAUAUAUAUUUAUAUUAUAUUUGUGAAGUAGUAUGGUUUUUUUCCCUUCCGUGAACAGUUGAAAUUUAAAUUGCACCUACUACUCGUACGUCGUACGUACGAGACCUGAGAACGGUAGUAUCGUUUCUAUAUUUCGCAAUAAUAGAUCUAACCUAAUGGUGUAGAAUAACGGGUCCACCAAUUUAAGUAAAAAUCAAUGGUGAGAUUAGAUAGUACCACAUGACGGCUUAGAAACGUUUAUAGGAGUGCCACAUGGCGGUUUAAGACGGUUUAAGAGUGUUUGUAGGAAGUUUAAUAUACUUUUAGUAUAUAAUAGAUAAAUAGAUAGCUAAAUGGUAUGUUUUGUACGAAAAUUUUCUAUAUAAACGCUACUAUGAAAUAUUGAAUAAAUAUAUUUUUAAGUUUAUAAUAACUAAAACUUAAUUAAUCAUGCACUUAUAGCAUUUUUUGUUUAAACGUGUAAUGAGUUCUCAUUUUCAUCAGUUGCAGACACCAUGUUAGUAAAUCAGCCAAUUUAUAUAUUCAAACUAAAAAUCAAUUUCUUUAUAAAAUUUAUCUGAAUUCCACCAUUUUUUUUGUUAACCGUGAAUUAUCUACCUGUUAGCAACAAUUGUCGACUUUUCACAUUUUGAAACCCCGGUUAAGGUAUAUUCAUGUCACACGAAGAGACAUUUCAUUAUAAUUAUAUUUAAGCUUAUUACAUAUUACUCCCAAAGGUCAUAAAUAUUUGAUAUUUAGAGUAAAAUUCAGCCAAACUAUUAAAAGUUUGAUCACCAAUAACAUCUCACCCUUAAUUUGGAAAAAAAAAAGCUAUAUGUAGAUUUAUCCUGAAAAGGUACUGUCAUAUAUAAUAUUAUAUGUACUUAAUAGAUUUUGUACACUAAUCUUCAAGUUUUAAAACUUUCAAAUCUUGUCUUGAACAUAAAAAUGUUUAUGAAUAGAGGGAAUAUGUUGAUUUUUUUUGCCCAUCUGAAACAAAAUGUAUUUUUUUUCCAUACGGUCAAAUUAGAUUUUUGCAGGAGGCUGGGCAACCCGCACGCACCUAGGGGGCUACAAAAAUCGUUAUUUCUGUGUUCGUGACGCACCUGUACAUGAAAAUCAGAUUUUUGCGUAUGGGUGCUUAUGUCAUCCACAUGCAAAAAUAAAAGUCUGAAAACAAUAAAAUCUCAAAAAUUCAAAAGUUGAAACCCUAGCUCCCUGAUUUAUUCCCAAACCCUAGCCCGCUGCUGCCAGAUGUUGUCACCGCCGGAGUCAUCCCAAACCCUAAUUCACCGCCCACCACCAGAUCCACGUGGGGGAGGGCGGCGGCUACCAGAUCAGUGCAGGGGAGGAUGCAGCCGACGGAUCCGCGCGGGGCCGCUCCUGCACUGGCCUCCCGCUUGAGCCCACCGCCAGAUCCAUGUGAGGGAGGGUGAGGGCCGUUGCUGUCGCCCUUGCCCUCGCCCACCGCUGACGUUGCCGCUGGUGCCUGCCGUCGGGAGGGAUUCGAGGGAAGAGGAGGAGUCAUCCGGAGUAAGGAGGAGUAGGGGAGAGGAGGAGUUAGACAGAGGGAGGAGUGGAGAAUAAAAAAUGGGUGAUUUUUCCAUGCAUAUCACUUAACAUGUUCGCAUGCGAAAAUAUCUGAUUUGUUAAAAGACCCGCUUGCAAAAAUUGUUUUUUACAUGCGAGCCUGCGAUAUGCGAAAAUGGAGGUUGAUUUUUGUAGACGUGAACACUUAUGGCCCACCUGCCUGCAACCUAUUGGGGUGUUUGGCCAGAAAAAAAAUCAUUUGUUUAAUAAUGACAACAUUUGUUAUUUUAAAUCAUUCAUUCAUAAAUAAAAUGGAGAUACUAUUAUGCUAUUAUUAUGCUAUUUGAAUAAGGUAGACAUCAACCCCGUGAGUUACAUAUAUUGUUGUUCGCUAAUCCAAACUAUAACGAUUUAUAUGAUUCAAAUUUUGUGUCACAAUAUAAGCAUUCUUACGCUAAUUCCCAUCACUGUUUCAAUGGGUCCAAAGCCAAUCACAUGCUAGGAAAAAGAUCUAAGCAAUUCAAAAUUACAACUUCCAACUGAAAUAACUAAACAACCAAACCUUAGUAUUUGCUUAAUAAUCUAAAAAUCUUUAUAUUUAAAAACGAAGGGAGUAUGUUAUAAAUAUGCUAGAUGUAUUGGUUAUUUUUAAAAUGUACUGGCUUGGAUUUAAGAGCAUUUCACAUAAAUUAGAACUUCUUAACCAAUAAUAUCAAAUUUUUUUAAUAUACUAACAAUAUACUAAGUUGAGAGUUUUAUGAUUUUUAUGCAACAACUUCAUGUUUAUUAUGUCCAAGGUUUUGAAAAAAAAAAUCUAAUUGCAUGUCUUGUUUAAUACUCCCUCCGUUCUAUUUUAAGUGCAGCCAUGAGUUUCCGUGCCUAACUUUGAACGUCCGUCUUAUUUGAAAAUUUUUUGAAAAAAAUUAAAAACGUAAGUCACGCAUAAAGUAAUAUUCAUGUUUUGUCAUCUCAUAACAACAAAAUACUACUACCUCCGUCCCAAAAUAAGUGCAGUUUUGCACUAUUCAUCUUCAACGUUUGACCGUUCGUCUUAUUUGAAAAUUUUUUAUGAUUAUUAUUUUUAUUGUUAUUAUAUGAUAAAACAUGAAUAGUGCUUUAUGUGUGACUAAUUUUUUUAAAAUUUUUCAAAUAAGACGGACGGUCAAACGUUGGACAUGGAUUUCGACGACUGCACUUAUUUUGGAACGGUGGUAGUAAUUAAUUUUUUUUUUUCAAAUAAGACGAACGAUUAAAGUUGGACGUAAAAACUCAUGGUUACAUUUAAAAUGAGACGGAGGGAGUAUGAACUUUCAAUAUGAUAUACGGUUAUAAUAAAAGUAUAGUACAUAUCAACGGUAACAUGACAUUUAAAAUAUCCCAUAAUUUAUAUAGGGAGAGAGAUUCUAGAAGAACUUUUCUAAACAAACUUUUCUAAGGGGGACAUGCCUGAAUGCACUGAUUCUCUUUUUUGUUUUAUGUCCCCUCGGCAGAGUGGUGGAUGGAUUUGACGGGACAGAGCUGCACAAGGUUUCUUUUAUUGUUUGCUUAUCUAUUUAUCGGUUGCAAUUAAAAUUUGAAUUUUGAAGAUAAUUUUAGUGCUGAUUUUAAAAUUUUUAUACCGUAGUUUAUUUUUCAAUAUUAUUUUUUAAACAUUUAUUGAUACAAAUGAAAGUAGUUUUCCUCAUAAACUUUUUUUUAAUUAUUUUGAUUAUUUUAUCAUGACUUAUCGGUUGUAGGCGUAGCUCAGUGCUUAUGUCAGCAGGGUCUGAAUAGGACGGGCGCUAGUGUCGGAUCUCGGAUGAGAAGAUCCACGGUCAAGCUGGAUGACCAUUCACAGGGUGAGCUAUGUGCGAAACUGAUGACACUUCACCAACUUUAUUACCAGUAGUUUUAUAUGAUAUGAUACCUGAAAUCUGGCUUCCAAUGCUGUCAUGUAACCUAAGAUGGAUAAUAAAGCUAUACUACUAGUAACCCCUCGGCUCCUAAGUGCAGUUAUAAAUUUCCGUAUCCAACGUUUUAUGGUCUGUUUUAUUUAAAAAAUUUUAUAAUUACUAUUUAUAUUAUUAUUAGAUGAUAAAAUAUAAAUAAUACUUUAUAUGUAACUUAUUUAUUUUAUUUAUUUUAUAAAUUUUUGAAAUAAGACAGAUCAAACGCCAUACAUGUCAACUGUAACCGUAUUUAAGAUAGGAGUGAGGGAGUAGUUUACAAGUAUCGAAAUUGGAAUCUAAUUCUAACCCUCAUUGUGCCGGUGCUGUGCUAGUGUGCUUUGGCGGGCGGCCGCGCCGCUGAAUGAAUCAGAAAACUAACCAACGCGGCCCAAUGAUUCUGCGCACUCUGCGGCUUGCAUUCCAACCUCCCCCCACCCACCACCUCACUACCCUAGCCUGCAGCGGCUGCCGCGCUAUAAAUAGGCAGCCAUGCACAGACUCCAUGGCUGCCUCUCUCGAGCUCCAGACUCCAGUAGCAGCAGCAGCAGCUCUCCUCCUCUCCACUGCUAGUUCGACGAUAUCGAUGGAGGGCACGGUGCUCUGCUCCGCCAACCACGCGCCGCUCACGCCCAUCAGCUUCCUCGAGCGCACCGCGCUCGUGUACCCCGACCGUCUCGCUAUUGUCGCCUCGGAUGGCAGCGCCGGCGUGGCCGUGUCGCGCACCUGGCGGGACACUCGGGCCCGCUGCCUCCGCCUCGCCGCCGCCCUCACCGGCCUCCUCGGCGUCCAGCGCCACGACGUGGUACGUAUGAACAGGCGCCACGCCACUGUAACAGUAACAUUAAUUUCACCCCUCAAAAUCGCUGUGAAUUCGCAUGCCAAAUGCUGUAAUUUAAUCGCGGUGAUUCACAUUUUGGUUCAUGCGCAGGUUGCGGUGUUCGCGCAGAACAUUCCUGCUGUUUGCGAGCUCCACUUCGGCGUCCCCAUGGCCGGCGCCGUCAUCUGCACGCUCAACUCGCGCCUCGACGCCGCCAUGGCGGCCGUCCUGCUGCGCCACUCCGAGGCCAAGGUCGUCUUCGUCGACCGCGCUCUGCUCGGCGUCGCCCAGAAAGCCC
Molecule: long non-coding RNA, 67233 nt
Filed under: Oryza sativa (Asian cultivated rice)
Lineage: Eukaryota; Viridiplantae; Streptophyta; Magnoliopsida; Poales; Poaceae
Description: long non-coding RNA (OSAT_LNC000424)
Rfam family: MIR812 microRNA precursor family (bases 65194-65390)
Source: RNAcentral